GGAACAGGCGGGUUUGCCCUUGGCCCAACAGCAUAAAUCCCUUCGGGGGUUGUGGAGACCGGAUCAUCUCCGACAACUUCCUCCCCUGCGGCUGAUCUAGCUUUUGUGUCUUCUCUCUUGUUUUUUCCGAUGAUUUUCCUUCGAACUAUGUUUAUGUGUCAGUUAAUAUUUCUAUUUGUUUGUUGGUUCCUUGAGUUUUACUGAAUGUAUCGAGAAGCGAAGUUGAUUAAUUGUAUGGUUAAUUACUUCUCUCAUUGUAAUCUUCAUAGAUUGCACCUUUCGAAUUAUCAUCCACACAAUAUUUUCAAGUUCUUAUUGGAAUAAUAUAAAGGUUGAUUAUUGUAAAAAAAAAAGAGUGAAGUCUCAAACAUUCAAAAUUCAAAUUAUUGUCUACAUAAGUAUCGAUCCACAAUGAAUUAGCAAUGCUGAAAUGAAACAUCAGACGAAAGAAGAAAACCAAAUCAUCUUCUAUUUAUUUUGUUCUAUUUGUAAUGAGAGUGGAUAUUAUUUAGUAUUUACCCAUAGUACAUGCGGCAACAAACAAUCUUUCCUAUCUUCCACCUGGUCGUUACCAUAGUUUCGUGGGAUUAAUCGACACCUUAAUUUAUUCAUUCGUUACAGCCAAAGUACCAUUCAAACAGAGGAUAAUUAUGUGAACUCUUGCAAACUCUUGCAAAAACUGAAAUAGAUUCCUCGAUUCUUUAUGCAGCAGAUUAAAACUGGGUAAAAGUUAAAACUUGCAAUUCUUGCAGAAACUGAAGAAAACAUGGUUGUACGUAUAUGAAACUAUUUGUUGUCACCUGUCAAUCUAUGGUCUAGAGAUAGUGAUGUUGUCAAUGAUCAAUCCCUGCUACGCAUGAAUGGUAAAAUAUUUGGGAUACGCGUUUUUGUGCAUCAGGGCAGUUAGCUGUCAGAAACUGGGUGAGCAAUUGAAAGGAAAGGAAACUUCGUCUCUGCAUUGAAUGAACAGAGAUGGAUCACUUCAUGUUAAAAAGAUAAAACCAAGUAACAAAAUAUAUAUAUAUUACUGAAGUUGAGCAGUACCAUUGGCCUGCAGCGGGUACUGUUCGUAAUAUGACAAAAAUGGUUUUUUUCGUAAACUUAGAGCGACAAUAAAAAUUCAGGAUAGGAAUGCAGAACAAAAUUUCCUGGGACGAUGUUGACUUGAAUUUUGGGCCUAAAUAAGUGGUGAAUUUUUCACAAGUAGUCUUGGUAGGAUGUUAUUAAGGGCCCAAAAGUGGGACUCCAUCAUUGUUAGUCCCUAUCAAUGACAAGCUUCAGGAUUAAUUGUCAAAGACAUCAUUCAUGUCUUGUCCAGUGUUGGGAUUCAAGUUUAAAUGGUUUGCCGUUCAACAAAUGAAGCUAUUAAUUUGUAGGGAACACAAAUUAAUUCUCCCUACGACGGAGCGGUUAUGCGACGUUUUUCAUCCUCCCCUUGCGUUCUCGCGUCAACCGUCGUCAACCGCCAUCAGCAACGGCCUCCGGCCAUCGGACAACCAUCAACCUUCAUCAACAGCAAUCUUCAAUCAUCGAAUUCACUACCGAUCUCCAUCGAUCCUCUGGGUAAAACCCCAUCCCUUUCCUCUUUUCCUAUCAUUGGUGCCGAGUUUCUCGAUUUCGAUUCCUUCGCAUUUCCCCUGAUUUGAUUACGACGCCAUGAUUGAUUGUUCUGGCAAAGGUCGAUCCUCUAAUCUCCUACUUCUACCUUAAAUUCGGCCGUGUAGCCUAAUUUUGCCUUUGUGGUAGAAUUCGAUCAUCCAUAGAAAGGCCUUCCACAUUCACUUUGUUGGGUUUGUUUUGGAUCCAAUUGGGGUCUCUUCGACCAUCGACAAUCUCGACUCAAGCACACGGAAUCCAUACUCAUCGGCACAACAUGUACCUUUGUUGCAUCUCAACUCGUUUCCGGCGGAAGAGGAUUCAACACGGUUCAACCCAACCAACCAACCCUUGAAGCUGAAUUAUAGGUGGAAAUGUUAGUAGAGGAAAAUGACCGAGUGGUUAAUUGACCCAUGACCAUGAUCUUAUUACAUCAACAACAACAGCAACAAGAGACCACUUUCAAAUUUAACUCAAGAUACACAAAUUUUGAACAGGGUACAUGGAAAGUUGUGACUGUACAUAACACUAGUUAUCAAACUGAAUUGGCCGACAAUAAUUGUUCCUUCUCUCACCUCAAACUGUCAAAUAGAUUACAAACCAUCCACCUUGGAAGCUGACUCCUUCCCCACAAUCCCCUCAAUGGAAUCAAACUCUGUCCCCUUAGCUAUAUCUCAGAAACGACUGCCAAAUAGACACUUUUCAUUGAGAACAAUAAGAACACAAAAGCAAGACAACACAAUGUAACAACGUGCUGAACUGCUGCUACCUUGAUUUUAGCAUUACUUGUGGUUGUUUUAGUCGAACCGAUACUCGGAAACCCAAACCUUGCUGGUUUCUUCUCCAAUGGCCUCAGUAUCUGAAAUGAACACAACAAGUCCCCAUCCACACUCAUCAUUGCACCGGCAUUGUCAAACUCCCCACAGUAAUUUGGUGCUGAGAAUAUUGUCACUAGUUGCUUAUUAGCAAAGAACUCAUAUCCAUCCUCCAUAACCUGCAACCAACAAAAAUGCCACAUUAUUAUAACAAUCAUAUAUGUACGUAACUUCAGCAUCCAUAUAAUACGUAGUUAUCUACUCCUCCCAACCUGAUGUGCCCUGCAGAUUAGAUCAAGAUCAAGCUUGCGAAGAAACUCAGUGACUCGAUCAGCUCCAAACGUAUACGAAACACCUCUCUCGUUCGGCCCCCACCCUCGAAUGUCCUUGGAAGGAUCAGACCAUAGAAGAUCACACAACAAUCCACUGUCAGGGAUGGAAGUUGGCCGCGGUAGGUUCCUGAUUUGGUCCAAGCUAUGGAGAUCAGGAGACAACCCACCGUGCAUACAUAGAAUCUUUUCAUCAAUGAGAGCCGCCACGGGGAGGCAAUUAAAGCUGUCUGUGAAGAGCUUCCACAGCCUGACACUGUACCUGCGUUUACACUCGUCGUAGAAGCCGUAUAUCCUGUUGAGAGAGGCACAUUCAUGGUUGCCUCUCAGUAGGAAGAAGUUCUCAGGGUACUUGAUCUUGUAAGCCAAGAGAAGACAAAUGGUCUCAAGGCUUUGUUUCCCUCUGUCCACAUAGUCUCCCAAGAACAAGUAAUUCGCUCUUGGUGGGAACCCUACACUCUCAAAUAUCCUUAGCAGGUCACUGUACUGUCCAUGGAUGUCUCCUGUUUAAGUUUCAAGUUCAUUGUAGGCAGCAUCAGAGAAAAACCCUCAAGAAAAGUAGUGAACUUUUUACUCAUGGUUGGUAAAUUGAGCAAAUUUGCUGAGUCGAAAUACUGUUACAUAAGCAAAUCGGCAAAUACAACUUGUAAUUUCCAGCACAAUCAUAAUAAGUUAACUAUUGUGCAAUCACUCUCAUACGCGUAUAUAACAAGUUAUACACCAUUACCCUAAACAGAAUCAAACAACAGUAGAAAGAAAUCCAUGACUGAAAAAAAGGAAACAAAUUUCUGAAAAGAAUGAUACGUAACUCUGCAAUCAGGGAGAGCAAAAAUGAGAAUAGAGGUGAAGGAUGAUUAUUGAUUACCACAGAUGUUGAUAGGAGCUUCAAUCUCCAAGAGAUUAGGCUGGUUCAGUAAAACCUGGCGGGAGGAGACACAAAGCUGGACGAUUUCGCUCUCGGAGAGCUGAACCAGCUUUCCGGGCUUUCCCCUGACUUCAAGCAAUCGGCUGAUGAUACUGUCAAGAACCCAGCGUUCUAUCAUCUUCAAAGUUGCAGACUUUUGAUUAAUUUGUUGUCAGGCAGCCCUCAGAGAUGGACAAAGAUCAUAGAUGAAGAAGAAGAUGGGAGAGAUGGUUUCUUAAUAAUGGGGAGCAUGUAGUGUAUGUGUAUAACUUUGGGGAAAGAAGGGUUAUUGGGUUUUGUGUUGAGUGACUUUGAUGUGGAGGAAGGAAUGAGAUGACGAAUGGUUGUGGAGAAAAGGGCAAAUACACAAAAUUAAAGGCAAUUUGAGAGGAGGAUAUAUUCUAUUCUCUGAUUCUCUCCUCUUGGUGUUUGUUCCUUUUAGGGGUUUAUUUCAAGAAACGAGUUUACUUUAUCAAGUUGAAUAUUAUUGGCCUUUUUCUUGGUAAUGGUUGGUUUCAUUUCACGGUGGAGCCAAAAACAAAAUUCAAUAAAAAGCACAAGGUGAAAUAUGCUUUGAUUUUGGAAUAAAGAAGACGAAUUUAGAAUAACACGGAAACCAAUAGGUGAAGUGUACUUAGCACUCAUUUUGCACAUUUAAUAGUAUUAGUUCGAUUUCGAAUGCCCCAAUGGACAAACUGUCUAUAGGCCCCGGCUUCGUUCCACCGGGUUUAGGCCUGACAUGAUGGUAAUAGCCUGGCAUGAUGGUAGUAGCUACGUAGUUCAAAGUCCAUCAACUGGGGUCUAGGCCAGAUUUUUAAUAUUUUAUCGACUCAUAUUUUACUAUCAAUUUUAAUGUCAUAAAAAUAUGUCUGAUGAAAUGUCAUGACAAAAAUGAUUCCAAAAUACUAGCUAAAUGUGUCAUUGUCGUCAACCAACAGAAGGAAUUUCAACUAGAUGUGGAAUUGCAUGGGGACGAUCGUUCUGCAGAUAAACAGAACUUCAAACGGCCGGUACAACCGGGAUGACUGAGCUGGCAAGAGAGAAAAACAAAUACUAUUUCUAGAGUUUAAACCGAAAUAAAACUAAAAAAAGAAAAACAAACUGAAAGCAAACGAGUCUAACGAAUGAGAAAAAUAAAAAAAGAACUAAACGCCUAACAAAUUUGGAUGUGAUAUCCGUAUUGAGCCCGCUAAGAGAGGCUAGGGUUCUUAGCGGUCUUGAGUUCUUGGAUCAGUCGGUGUGUCCGAAACCGAGCUGCAACUCGGUCGAACCGGUUCCUAGUUGCUUCUUCCUCUGUUUUUACUAUUAUUUUAUUAUUGGUUAAUUUUCUUAAUUAAAAUUUUUACUUAAUUUACGAAUGAUGAUGUGGCUACAUUUGACAUGUUAGCUGAUACGUUAUUUUAGUGGUCUCAGUUUCAGUUAAUUUGGACGGAAAAUUUAGUGAAAUUUUGUUAAAAGGCAGGACCGAGAUUUAAAAUGAUUCAAACUAAAUUUGAAAAUCCGCUUUAAAUUUGGGAUAGAUUUGGGUAUUCGGCUAAUAAAAAGUUUGGCGAUUCGAUAGAUUUAAGCAUAUCCCUAUACGUUGAAUUUGAAUUAUUUUCUAUUAAAAUGCAAAACUGGUGUUUGCUUGGUUGAACAAGUAUCGUAUCAAAGGUUCGUAGACAUGGUGACACUUAUUGAAGCCUGGCACGUCGGUCGAAUAUUACCCGCCCAAAAUAGGUGAGACAACAUAUUUUUAAGUAGGAAUUAAAAUUUCUUUUUUAAAGAGAGGAAACAGAAAAUAAACCUUUUAAAACAUAAAUAGAAAAAUUUGCAUUCCUCGUAGUAUACGGAUUGAGAUUUUCACGGGUUUCCAUUGCCUCUUGAUCGGCAAUCGAGUGGCACAAAACACCUAAUCUCCCUUCCAUAAUCCUCCCUAUAUAAACAACCUUGGGAUUGCACUAAAUCCUCCACCCAACCCAAACACCAAAGCCAUAGAGAGAGGGAGAGAGCCAGGGGGGGAAAGCCAUGGCUCUACAAAUUGUAGUGAUGAUGUUUCUGCUGGCAGCUGAGAUCUCUGAGUUAGGGAUGAUAUCAGCUGAUCCAAUUCCAAGUGUUGACCCUUGCUCAACAUCACACUACGUAUACAAACCUUCUAAAGAGCUUCCCCAUGGCCGUUAUAGUUUCCCUCCUGGCUUUAUCUUUGGCACUGCCACUUCUUCUUUUCAGGUUAGUUAAUUACUUCUUCACUCUAUUUAAUCGAUAUGCAUCCAUAGCGAGCGAGGUGGUAGGUCUGCUGGAUUUCGGCUUGGAGAUCCCAGCUUCGGAGUCCGGAGAGUGCACUUCUCACAACCCUAUUAUAGCGAUGUCCUCUGAUUUGCUUAAAUAAAUGCUCGUGCUUAAGAUCGAUAAUCCUGAAACUUAUCUGACUGUUCGUCAUAAAAAACAAUGCAUAUAUCAUAUAUAAGUGCUAGCUAUGUAUUAUUUUUCCUAUUUCUUACUUAUUAUGGUGGUAAUGAAGAUUGAGGGAGCUUCAGAUUUUUCGUAUGGGAAAGGUCCGAGCAUUUGGGACAGAUUUACCCAUCAGUAUCCAGGUUUGUGCCAAUUUAGGACUUUAAUUUGAUCAAUUUUUGAACAAAAAACCGAUUCCACCCAAUUUUGUAGCUAAUACAUUAUGCUACAAUGUUGAUUCAUUUGUUGCAGAAAGGAUUUUAGAAGGUGGUAAUGGUGAUGUAGCAAUAGAUCAUUAUCACAAAUUCAAGGUAUAUGAAAAUAUACGUAAAAGUUUCUUGUCUCACCGCGAGAUAAUAUUGGGUGUCUCACUACAAUAAAUUAUAAUAAAAAAGUGAGACCAAAAACGUUUGGUGCGUUAUAAUUAUAAAGGGUAUCAUUGUUUUAUUAUAAUGAAGCACCCAAUUUUAUCUUUUUUUUCAUAAAUCAAUUAACCACUUUCUCUUAUAUAUUAAUAUAGGAAUGAUCAUAUGACUAAUUAGUUAUUUUUUAAUAAAAAAAACAGGAAGAUAUUAUGAAAAUGAAGUAUCUCAAUGUUGAUGCGUACAGAUUCUCUAUCUCAUGGCCACGAAUUAUACCAUGUAAGGAUGAUUGCUUUUCUUGUUUGUUCUUAUUUUGAGUAAAUAUUGCUACUCUUUGUUCAUCUAAAACAAAAUAAAUUAUUUUAUAAUAACAAAACUCCAUGUCCUAUAUUUUACUUGUGUAGUUAAGUACUUAUUCUCAAAAUUGUGUAUGCAGCUGGCAAGAGAAGUGACGGAGUUAAUCAAGAAGGAAUCAAAUUUUACCACGACCUCCUCGAUGAACUCAUUGAAAAUGGUAUAUAAUCUCGUUUUAUUAAAUUAGUAUCAAUGGUAUAUCUCCAUUUAUAAAAUCUCGUUAAUGCUAGUUAUAUUGUGUACGUAGGGAUCGAGCCUUUUGUCACAAUAUGGCAUUGGGAUACCCCUCAGGCUCUUGAAGCUGAGUAUGGUGGCUUUCUAAGCCGAGAUAUUAUGUAAGUUGCAUGUAUUUCUCCAAAUUAGUCGACUUCAGUUGAGUCUGUAUGGUUACUUAAUUCAUACAUCUUGAUCUUGUCUCGCUACGCAGAAAGGAUUUUGAGGAUUACUGUGACGUCUUGUUUCAAGAAUAUGGCUCAAAAGUAAAGAAAUGGAUAACUUUGAAUGAACCUAUGGGUAACGCAAUGAAAGCCUACGAUGAAGGGGUUUUCGCACCCGGACAUUGUUCUGUAUGGGUUGAUAGAGCAUGUAAACUUGGAGACUCUUCAACUGAACCUUAUAUUGUUUCCCAUCAUCAACUUCUUGCUCAUUCCGCUGCUUACCACUUAUACAAAAACAAAUAUCAGGUUUGUUGCAUUUUCCACUAGAUAUAUAGUUGCAGGCUAGUCAUGGUGCGAACCUAUACUUGUAUUUUUUUACUGUAUUAAUUUAUUCAUUUUUUUAUGGAAUAGAAUCUUACUGGAGAAAUAGGAAUAACCUAUGUCUCACAUUGGUUUCUUCCUUACUCUAAUACAACUGAAGAUAUUGAUGCUGCUCACAGAGCUCAGGAUUGGAUGUAUGGCUGGUGAGUAGCAUUUCUAUUAUCUCUCUAAAAACUAAUUUUUCAUUUAAACUAUUAGCUAAAAACUAAAUUGAUUAUUUCGGAUGUAGGUACAUGGAUCCAAUCACCUAUGGUUAUUACCCUAGAACAAUGGUGGAUUUAUUGGGAUCUCGUUUGCCCAAAUUUACACUAGAAGAAUCACGCUUGCUUAGAAAGUCAUACGACUUUUUAGGCAUCAAUUAUUACACUAGUUAUUUUGUGAAGAACAAUGAUAAAUUUGAUAAUGCUCAUCUUCGAUAUGCAACUGAUCACCACGGCAUUACUACACGUAUUAUAUUCAAUAUCUCAAUUAACUAGUUUCAUUAAUUUCAAAUAUGAGGCAAAGAAAUUGUCUAAUACGAAUUUUUUUUUAUUUUUUGUUUUCCCAUCAGCUGAUAGAGACGGAGUGUACAUUGGACCACAUGUAUGUGAUAACCUUGCUCAAAUAAUAUAUUAGUUACUUGUUAAUAAUAUGAAAUUAUAAUAUUGUAAUACAAACAAUUUAACUUUUGUUAACAUGCAGUUGGGUUCAUACUGGCAAUAUUUAUAUCCAGAUGGUUUACGAGCAUUGCUGAAGUACACUAAAGAAAAAUAUGAUAAUCCUGUCAUUUACAUAACUGAAAAUGGUACUUAAUUAUACUAAUCAAUCAUGUAAUGACGCAAAUAAAAUUCUUACUUAUUAAAGUUGAAUUAACUAUUUAACUAUGUAUGGUAUAAUUGAUGAUCAGGAUUAUCGGAGAAGGACAACGCUACACAGACACUUGAAGAGGCACUACAGGACAAGAUGAGGAUUGAUUUUUACAACAGCCAUCUUACAAGUGUUCUGCAAGCCAUCAAGUCAGUACAAAUAUAAUAAUAUUACGCAUGCUUUCCACGCACAGUUUAUUAUUCAUGUAACAAGAAACUCUGCAACCGAGCCUUACAUUGUUUCCCAUCAUCAACUUCUUGCUCAUUCCGCUGCUUACCACUUAUACAAAAACAAAUAUCAGGUUUGUUGCAUUUUCCACUAGAUAUAUAGUUGCAGGCUAGUCAUGGUGCGAACCUAUACUUGUAUUUUUUUACUGUAUUAAUUUAUUCAUUUUUUUAUGGAAUAGAAUCUUACUGGAGAAAUAGGAAUAACCUAUGUCUCACAUUGGUUUCUUCCUUACUCUAAUACAACUGAAGAUAUUGAUGCUGCUCACAGAGCUCAGGAUUGGAUGUAUGGCUGGUGAGUAGCAUUUCUAUUAUCUCUCUAAAAACUAAUUUUUCAUUUAAACUAUUAGCUAAAAACUAAAUUGAUUAUUUCGGAUGUAGGUACAUGGAUCCAAUCACCUAUGGUUAUUACCCUAGAACAAUGGUGGAUUUAUUGGGAUCUCGUUUGCCCAAAUUUACACUAGAAGAAUCACGCUUGCUUAGAAAGUCAUACGACUUUUUAGGCAUCAAUUAUUACACUAGUUAUUUUGUGAAGAACAAUGAUAAAUUUGAUAAUGCUCAUCUUCGAUAUGCAACUGAUCACCACGGCAUUACUACACGUAUUAUAUUCAAUAUCUCAAUUAACUAGUUUCAUUAAUUUCAAAUAUGAGGCAAAGAAAUUGUCUAAUACGAAUUUUUUUUUAUUUUUUGUUUUCCCAUCAGCUGAUAGAGACGGAGUGUACAUUGGACCACAUGUAUGUGAUAACCUUGCUCAAAUAAUAUAUUAGUUACUUGUUAAUAAUAUGAAAUUAUAAUAUUGUAAUACAAACAAUUUAACUUUUGUUAACAUGCAGUUGGGUUCAUACUGGCAAUAUUUAUAUCCAGAUGGUUUACGAGCAUUGCUGAAGUACACUAAAGAAAAAUAUGAUAAUCCUGUCAUUUACAUAACUGAAAAUGGUACUUAAUUAUACUAAUCAAUCAUGUAAUGACGCAAAUAAAAUUCUUACUUAUUAAAGUUGAAUUAACUAUUUAACUAUGUAUGGUAUAAUUGAUGAUCAGGAUUAUCGGAGAAGGACAACGCUACACAGACACUUGAAGAGGCACUACAGGACAAGAUGAGGAUUGAUUUUUACAACAGCCAUCUUACAAGUGUUCUGCAAGCCAUCAAGUCAGUACAAAUAUAAUAAUAUUACGCAUGCUUUCCACGCACAGUUUAUUAUUCAUGUAACAAGAAUUGUCGGAUUAUGCAUGCAGUGAAACACAGGUAAACGUAAAAGGGUUCUUUGCGUGGUCAUUCGCAGACAACUUCGAAUGGAACGAAGGGUACACAGUUAGGUUUGGGUUGUACUACGUUAACUACACCGAUCUCUCCAGACACCCAAAGGACUCAGCAUGCUGGUACACUAACUUCUGCAACAAGACCCAGCCGAAGACGAAGUACUUCUCUAACAAAUUUGAUCUUGAUCAGCUCAUCACCACACGUGCCGCUCCCGAAGGCCUCUCUCCUCUGCGGACCGUCUUUAAUAGUGUCAAUCAUCAAUCUUAAUUCUCAAGACCGAUGAUCUCUUACGUACAUAUUGUUACGUGCAUAUUGCAAGACAAAUGAGAGUACGUAACUAUUGUUACGAGAGAGACGAAAGGUGGCUUAUAUAUCAGUCUACAUUGAGCUGCGUUGUUUGCAAUUAGUAGUGGGAAUGAGAUCAUAUUGUAUUCUUGGGUUAUUCCCUUACGCGGUUUGCUUGCAUAGCUCAUUGUUGUUUGAUUUCUGGGUUGUAGGCUGAUAAGUAAUUAAGAACGAUGAUAUUUCCGCUACUGAACCGGUUGACGAUCUUGUGUUUUUCUUAUUUUAACUAAUGAUGCUUUGAGAUACUGCAGGUCCAUGUCAUCUUUCUAUGACCAUUUCGGUUCGUUUAGUGCUCGUCCCGAGUUUAGAUAAACCAGAAAGGUUCCAUCUUUGUGUAAUAGAACCUGCAAUAUAUUUCAUUCGAUGGGCAAGAAAGGAAAUAAUCAACUUUCUAGAUGGAUUCAAUUGACUCGUUUCGAAAGGAAUAGCACUGAGUAAACCAUUAUGGUUAUAUGGUUUAACCCAAUGAUCAUAUAAUUUUUUUUACAGCUAAAGGAUAAUACGAUUAACAAUAAAAAAGAUCUGGAAGUGGAGUUCCGUUGUUGACAUCGUUGGAACUCCACUUCCCAUGAAGGCAGUUACUAUUAAUAAUUUAAAAAUAAAAUAAAAAUUAAUUUUAUAUAGAGACUUAUGUUAUUUUUUAAUUUUACCAUUAGUCUUAUACUUUAAUUGAUUGAUCCCAGCCAUAUUAGACAUUCAUGAGACCUGGACCGAUGCACUCAUUCACAGUCAUUUAAAAAAAGUGUUCUCAAUUUCUAGUCAUCAUUACAGGGUUAAUUUCAUCAAUGAUACCAUAGGCGAGGACGAACAUUAGGGGGUUGAUUACAUUUUUGGUACCUUACUUAUUAAUAAGGUGUAUUUUGAUACUUUAUCUUUUGUUUAUAAUCAAAUGAUACUUUAUCUAUUAAAUUGUAACUAUGUGGUAUCUUCAUCCAUUAUUUCUUUAUCAAAAAACAUUCCAUCCAUUUUUUUCGUUAACUGUUGACGUGGAAGCCCAAUCACUUACCCGGUCAGCAAAUAUAAUAAAAAUUUGUAAUUUAUAUAGUAAUUACAUUUUUAACAAAAUAUAUGAUUUAAUGAAUUAUUUAGUUAAUAAAGGAGGCAGAGGCGAAGCUCGUGUUAGGUGAUGGUGACAAAAGGGGAGAUUGUGUUAGGUGAUGGUGGCGAAGGCGUAGAUCGUGAUAUGUGACGGCGGCGGAGGCAGACCUUGUGUUAGGUGAUGGCGUCGGAGGCAAGGUUCGUGUUAGAUGACGGCGACAGAGGCGACUGUUGUCGGGAUGUACCAGAAAAGAUGAAUGUGGCAUGGCGGGAGAAGGUGAAUGGUACGGAAAAAAGGAUUUUUAGGAAAAACUAAUAUAUUAACUAAAUAAAAAAUAUAUUUUUUUAAAAACUAAUUACUAUAUAAAUUACGAGUAUUUUUUAUUAUAUUUGUUGACUGGGAUGGGUGAUUGGACUUCCACAUCAAUAAUUUAUCGAACAAUGGAUAAAAAUUGAAUGGAGGUACCACAUAGUUACAAUUUAAUAAGUAUUAGGUUACAAAUAAAAGAUAAAGUACCAAAAUGUAUCUUUUUAAUAACUAAGGUACAAAUAUACAUUUUUGAUAGGUAACCGCUACUAUUUAUAAAAGGUAAAAUCCCCUCAGCUAUCAUAAAUUAUUUGAAAAAUAUAUUUUUAGCAUCGUACGUCGGAAACAGAGAAAUCAACAACUGACGAUGAGCUUGUGAGAGAGGAGAUCGACGUCGGAGCUAUGGAUGAGAUCGAGGAAGUGCUGGGUACGCCAUGGUGAGAGUUCUCUGUUGUGUUUUUUUUCUUGAGAUCAAAACUUUUUGAUCAAGGUGUUUUGGGGGACGAGGUGCAAAAAGAGUGGGAUUUGCAUAAUUCGUCCCGUUUAAAAGGGAAUGGGAAUGUCCAUUUUGGAUAGAAUUUGGGCUAAUUAAAAUUUUAAAAGUUUACGAUUUUGGAGUGAAAUUUCCAUACCGAAAACACGGAUUUGGUCCCAUCCAUGGGAAUUGAUCAGAUCCUGAGCCCAAAUUCAAUACAAAAAACGAUUGCUUAGUUAUCAUUAAUCUUUAUAAUUUUCGGUAAUCUCAAUUCUCGCGUCCAAACGGUCUCAUUAUCGUACCCCAGAUAUUAAUAACUCUCAUAGUACAAUAACUAAUGUGGAUUUACUUAAGACGAGAAUAGUCUAACACAGUGGCCCCUCCUAGUUUGAACAAAGUGGUAGAUUGGCAACAAAUUUUCAAACUUGCCGACUCAACUUGUUCCAUACGUACGUAGUACACCCACCAUGCAUUUAUAAUCCAAAGCCCCAUCAGACCAGAGAUCAAUUGUUAACGUGAAUAUAUCAGUAGCCACUGGCCACAUAUUUGGAUCUAAGACUCACCAUAUAUAAAAAGGAGGCACCCAUUCUUCUAAUUACACCAUUCAAGUAAGCUGCAGCCCUCAAACCAACACAAGACAAAAAAAACAUGGCGCUCAUGAUCACAAACUUGGCAGUUCUGUUCCUCGGAGCUUUACUAGCCAUAAGUACUAGUGCCACUCUUUCUAUGGGUGAUGAUGAUAAUGGCUAUGAGAGCCGUCUAGCCAUGAGGAAGGCGCCAAUACCAUCACCAAUUGUGCCUUAUUAUCCUACACCUCCAAGGAAAGUCGGGCCGCCGUUGCCGCCGAAGACGAAGGGGAAGCCUCACCAUAGCCAAUCUCCAAUUGUUCCCUACUUCCCCUUCUAUUACAUCCCAGCACCAUCACCGCUGCCUAAUAAUUAACUAAACAAGGAGGUGAGCCACCUGUUCAUGUACGUAGAACAUUUCCAAGGGAUGAAUAAAAUAAUAGUUUCAUAAGCCAUAUUUCCCGACUCGUCAUAUAUGAAUACAAGGAUGAAUUAGGUUCAGAUUAUUGUUUAAAAAGUUGUGUCUUAUAUAUAUAUUCUCGUGCAACUUUGCAAGUUAUUACUACAGUUUGAUCCUCUCUGUCCUAGCAGGUACGUUUUUCUGGACAACUAAGUGUUGAAUGCUGAUGAUUGAUGCAAUCAGUUAUGCAGUGUCUAAUUCCUUGUGCGCGGUUAUAUCAGUGUAGUUAGUAAAAUACGAUAUUGGUAUAAUACGAUAAUUAUACAUACAUGUAUAAUAUAACAAUUUUUUAGCAAUAGUACAAUAAAAAAGUCGGCGAUUAAAACGGCUAAUUGAAUUAGACGGAAAUAAGAAUUAUAUAUGCAUAAUACUUAUUUUAAUUUAAUAAACGUCAUUAAAAAUACGGAUAUAUCUUAUAAAAAAUUAUUAAAAAGUUGAUAGGACUUUGACAUAAAUAAAAUAUGAGUGAACUGAAAAGGGAAUCAAACUUUCAUAUUUUAUUUCAUAUAUACGGCUCAUGCGUCUUUAUACGCGCACUAAAUGGAUUCCAUUAUUUAAACGCGUAUUAGACGGCGGACAAACACAAAAAACGGGAAACGGAGUAAAAAACAGGGAUACGAAUUGUACGCGAAUAAGAUAGCGUUUUUUCCGUAUAAACUAACUAGACCGGACGUAGUCCGUAUUUUAUUUGGAGGUGAUGUCGAAUUCCCGACGAAGAUGAAGAACUAAGAUUGAGUAUCUCUUCGAGUAAGUUUUUUAUAUUUAAAUAAAUGUAAAGAUAAUUUUGUAACUUUUUAAAAUCUAAGGAGAUUAAUUUAACGUACGACGUCGAAUAACAAUAAGGGUAAACUCAAAUCCGGACCCAAAGCAAUCGCCACAUAUUUCGAAACCCCAAUCUCAGACAUUCUAUCUAGUUUUGACUCCUUUGACUAAUGUAAUAUUGUAGAUUGGAGUAGGUAGUCCAGCCAUUAUAUUAUUAUCAUUUUUCCUAAAAACAUCAAGCAACCACAACCUCCGACGAGGGUCCGCCGAUGGCGCAGCUCUCCAGAGGGUUUCUAGUGACUUUUUUGGCGAGUUUUCGCUAACUUUUUCAUAAGGUUUUUGUAAUAUAUUACAAUCGUUUGUAUCAAAUUACACGAAUAACAAGUUAGAAACGACUAAAAUCAGUUACAGACGAGUAUAACAUGUUAGUUGUGUAACACAGGGUAUACACAGAAUAGGUUUAAUAUUUUGCAACUGAUUAUCACCAUAUGUAACACGAUAUAAUCGCAUAUAACUAAUUACACGAAUACUAAUUAUAAUCGUCAAUAACUAGUUAUAAUCACCGACAAAAUACCAUUUGGAUCCGACCACCUUUGCCUAGUGGAUCUUGGCAGCUUACCUAGGACCUGGCUAUGCCCCUCGCCAUAAGACUCCCUUCUCACGGUAAGAAUGUUUGGGAGUCAUAAUUAUCAGCAAAUAACCAAACCAAUUACCACCACGUUACAAUGUCGGCAUGCAUUGCAAUUUGCAAGAUGUUGAUUGAUUUAGCUUAACUGUAAAAGACAGCGCAGCAUUAAUUAUCAUUCACGACUUAAUGAGCCCAACUCCAUUUCUUAGAGGGCAACAAAGCCAAGUCUCUUAUCUGCACCAAAUUUCCCAACUUUCCAACUAAUGGAGCAUUGAUUCCUCAACCAAUUCCAAUUUAACUCCCCACAGCGCAGCAUUACUAUAAAAAUAGGCAACGCUAUCUCUCCUUUCCAAACCACACUCCUACCGAAAGCAUAUCAGUCUAAUUAGCCUAAAAUGGAACUCAGCCACUUCCUACUUGUGCUUAUUGUGGCUCUAGCGGCUGCUAUAUCACUGACCACCGUUCCUUCCGAGGCUGCUGAGUUCGUCGAAGAGAAGCCCUUUUUCAAGAAGAAGCUGCCCAAGUUUGAUUAUCCUAAGCCAUACCAUUACCACCACCCACUCUUCAAGAAGCCGGUCGAUCCUUUCCACCACAAGCCGCUGAUUAAGCCGCUGCCCAAGAAGGUUUACCCCAAGUUCAAGUACCCUAAGUAUGGCCACUAUCACCCUGGACACCCUCCUGUCGAGAAACCCUGAUUAGUUGAUCAUCAAUCAAUCGUCAUAUUAUAUAUAUGAAUAUUGUUGGAGUGUAUGAAAUAAGUCGUUACACCGUCAUGUGUAUCAUGGUGUUUUUUUAUAUAUGUAUCAUCUUUCUAGCUGAUCGAUGCGUUUGAGAGUUGGCGUGUAGCCUGAAUACUGUGUGGCAUGUAUCAAUUUCCUGACUAUGGCAGGAUUGUAAGUUCAAUCAAAGUAUGUUUCUAUUUCCGCCACACUAUGAGUCUACUAUGCCUAGACUGUAGAGUACAUUCUUCUUGUGGGGAAUUUAAAGCCCAUAUUAUUGGAGUCCACAAUGAAAGCCCGUUGGUGACAAGUCCAUCGAGUCUUGAAAAAGUGAUGAUAGCCCAUCUACAAUCAACAACGAUAACCCAUUAGUCCAUUUCCAGAAAUCUUUUAGUAAUAUUUUUAAAGUCAGUCAGAAUAAACUCAUUAGAUUGGUUUCUCAAAAUAUAAAUAUUUUUAUAUGAUGAUAUAAAACAAUCGGACUUAAAUUAAAAAAAAUAAUUUUUUUAAAAAUAAUCAAUUUUAAAUCUGGGCCUUUAGAUUGAAAAAUUGAAUUCGGCAGACUUCUGAAAAAUAUUUUGAGCACUACACCACGAUGGGGGUGCAACUCCAAGUAAUCCAAGAGAAAGGAAGAAGAGGGAAAGACUGACUUUGGUGAGUAUGAUGGUGUGCUUUUAUGGCCAGGUUCAGUUAACCCAAUAACAUAGCCCAUGAAAACGACGUCCCCCACCUUACGUAUCAAUUUAAAUUUUCAAAGAAUGCAAAUCAUACCCGAAGUUCAACUGCCACUCACCAAUCACUCCUACUAAAAGAUUAGUAGAUUACACCACUUCAUUCAUACAAAAACAAUAAUAGUUUCAAAUCAAUUGGAGACCAGUCAUAGUUGUGCUCAAUUUUGUUAUGCUGAUCGCUCAAAUCCCUAAAUCUAUACUUUACGUUAUUAAAUCACCUAUGAAAACGGUCCAUAAAAUAUUUGUCACAAUGUCAAAAGUUAGGCUACUAUUGUGUAUUAUUCUUUCUUAUUUGGUUAGAUAAGAUACAAUUGUUCCCUGCUAAUUGAUACAUUAAUUCCUUAUAAAAGCUAUAAAUUACCAUCCGAAAGAUAAUGAAGCAAACUUUGACAUUUUGAAUGGACUGAACAAAUAUUCCUCAACGACCAAUGACCAUGCUACAUAAAAAAAAAUUUGACAUUUUGGUAAACACAGUAGAACUCAAUUGUAAAUUACCCCACGUGAUGAUAUCAUCUUCUGAGAAGUCCCUAUCACAACUAAACUUGUCUAGGCAAAAAAGGAAGCAAAUUAAACUUUUCAAUUAGAGGAUAAUCAAUGGAAUUGAUGUGAAGACUCGAAGCACGAUCAAAUACAAAUAUAUCUGUUUGUUAAACUAUCGCCAACUAAUUUAAUUGACUAACCCAGUUGGUUCUUAGAUGCCUGAAUUCUGUCUCCUGCUGAAAUUUUCGACCGUUGAAGUCUGCUGAAUUAUUAUGAGACCGGUGGAUCGAACAUUUUGAUCGAUGGUUGCGUGCGAGUCGUGUAAUUAUAUGAGAACUGUGAUGAUAUUUUGGGCAUAGCAUGUUUCAUUUAGAAAAUGGUAGUUGAAAUGACAAUUUCUCCGCAAGGUCUCAGUCUGUCUGAACAUUUAAUGCGAUUCUCUUCGAUUCUCUCUCUCCUCCAGCGUUCCUCUCAGCAUUCCGGCGGUGUUCAUCAUUAUCCUCCGACGUUCAUCUCACAAUUCCGACGUUCGUCAUAAUCCUCUGGCGUUCAUCUCCCAGUGUUUCGCCGUUCAUCAUAAUCCUCUGGGGUUCAUCUUACUCAUCCGGCACCCUCCCCCGCUUGUGCGCUGCUUCUUGCUCCGCCGUUCAUCAUUAUUCUCGUUCAACUAUUGAUAAGAGGCAAUCAACUAUGUGACCGUCGAAAGAAAACAAUCAUCGAUAGGAGGCCACCAACAUACAUCUGUUAUCUAUUUUAUUAGGUGUCAAUAAGUUUUUUAUGGCUUAAUAAAGCCAUUCAAUAUUCUCAUUCGACUAUUGGUAGGAGGUAGUCGACUAGAUGGAUAAAAAAAAUCAAAUCAAAUGGCCUAUUUACCCCAAAAAAUAAUUAAUAUACCUAACUUGGCCCUAAUAAAAUCAAUAACUUUCUUAUUUUUAACCAAUAUAGUUCAUUUUGAAUGUAAAUAAUAAAUCUUACGUAACAAACUCAUGACUUAUAUAACAACAACUACUAACUCAAAAUCACUUUACUUAUAACUAACACAAAUUACCGUAUUUAUAUUUUAGGUUUGUAUAAUUUUCCCCACAAGCAAAGGAAAGUUUUUGUUGGUCCAAGUAAUAUAAAUAAAAGAAAAUUUUGGUUUGAAUUGAACAAGUGGACCUUAAUAAUGAAAAGCGGAGUAGAGACCAUUUUGGAAUAUUCAUAUUUAUUNNNNNNNNNNNNNNNNNNNNGAAUAUUCAUAUUUAUUUGCUAGUUUAGUGUAAUUAUAUAGAAAUUUGAGGCUAUUUUCUUGUUAUUAAUAUAAUAAUUAGUUGACGUGGCUGUUCUUUCUCCAACUCAUUUCAAGUCGUGUGUGUAAGUAUGAUUUGGAACAUGUGCGUCAUUGAAUCUUCAAAAUCUUCUGGACAAUGAAGGAAAGGAAAUGUAAUGGCAACUCUAAAACAAUUGGCAUCUAUGUAGUCUACUACUUGUCGUUACUAGAAUAUGAUAUAUAUCUCUUUUUUUCUAGUGUUGUUUAGUUACUAAGAAUCAAAUAAUUUACAAAGUAAAUUUGAGUUCAAUAAUCAUAUUUUAAGAUGCAAUAACAAAAUCAAAAGGUGACAAAUCCUUUUUUUUAAAAAAAAUUUUAGAAGCAAAUAACAACGUGGAUAAAAGAGCCUAUGUAUCAAGUUGUAAAUACUAUUAUUAUGGUGGAUAGCUUUAUUUAAAUCUGUGGAUAUUUAUUCGUUUAUUUGUGAAUAUAGGAUUUAAAAUCUAUAAAAAAAGAAUCAUAGCAUUGCGAGAUCAUAAAUUAUAUCGACCGAUGAGGGAUCUGAAAGAAGAAUGAGACUGUGCAGUCCAAAUAGCAGUGGGCUCCCUACAAACUUACAUUUCUCAUUAGAGAGUAACGUUAGGUUGUUUAUUUGAAAACUUAAGAAGAAAACAAAAUAGAACAUUGACCGACUUAGCUCGUGCCCUUCUUGCAUUUUUUAUAAGGAAGAAUCUCUUAGAUAGAUAGAUUUAUCGCCGUUAGGGAAACUUUUGGGCUUGUUAGCAUAGAGGGAGACCGGUAAUAUAAUUACAUAGGUAAAAUGGUUAUGCAUUCGAUUAUUUGUUUGGCUUUGCAUUUUUUGUAUAUGGAAUUUCAAAAUGUUAUUUGAAAUUUAUGUGUUUAGAUUUUAAUGUUAUUUUGUGUAUAUUUCAAAUACAAUGUAAAACAUUAUUUAAUUACGUAAUGCAGAAGCAUCAAUGAAGGUUUUCGACAAAAAAUUAGACGAUUUUUUUUCGGCGAAUGAACUUUGAUGGUACACUUCCGCAACCAUAACUCCACCUCUAGAAUUGUAUCUGAAGAAUUUUGAAGGCGGAACUCUACUGGUAAAAUUCCAUCGACAUCGAGCCUCUCUCAAUAAAGUAUCGGUGCUGGAGGCGAAACUAUACCGAUAAAAAUUUGGCUCUAGCAGCAAAAUUUUACCUUCCACCUUGGAACACUACCACUAGAAUUUAGACGGUCCAACUCAAUCAAUAGAAUUAUGAAAACAAAACUUAUUACAAAUGUUUAUAUAUAUUCGAACUCAUAAAUUAGAUAUUUGAAAUACGCAAUAUUCAUAAUAUUGUAGCCGUCACAAAUUAUUAAAAAAGUUUCAAAUUUUGUCGCGAUAUUAAUCUUUCUCUAAUAUGAGUUGACAAAAUGAUAUAUUUUGUCAUGUGAAAUGGUAAUAUAGAUGACGGGAGUUGACGGUGAUACAAAUUUUAAUGACAAGAGUUGAUAGGCGUAACAGAAUUUAACAGCGAAAAACAACAUAAUCUUAAAUGUUUUUGCUAAAUCACAACACUCGCUAUAUAUAUUAUGAAUGGAUCAUGUAGUUUCAUUAUAAGCAACAAUACUCCAAACACCCAAACAUAUAUAUAUAGCCAGGGUGUGGGCAUCUUUGUUGAUACGGGACUUUGAACUGGCUAGUCCCUUGCUCAGAACAAUUUGGGUGAGAAGAAAACUCAAAUGAAACCGAAUCAAACAACAAUGGUCGUCAAUGUACCCAAAAGAGAUAGCUUAUAGUUUGCAUUAAAUUGAGUGCUUGUACUUGUAUUUAUACAUAGCCUACAAUUCUGAAUCCUCUAAACUUAAGAAGGUCUUGUCUGGAUGUUGCCAAAACAAAAUAAAAGGAUAAAAAUGACCAAAACGCAGAAAUAGCCAAACAGAGACUGACUAGUUUAGGAACAAAACGACGACCCAAAACAAAAACAAAAAACAGAGCAACUCUGUUUACUCUGAACUAUCUCUGCUUCAAUAUUCCUUUGCCAAUUAAUUAUACUAACGCACGCCGGCGGUCUCAUCGGAAGAAUUCAUCAGCAACUCCUCCAAAUAAUCGGCUCCCAAAUCCUCCAAGACCACUACAUUCAAAUGAUCCCUUUCGUUCUUCUUCCCUCCCCGUCCGUUCAUUUUCCUCCUCAUGGAGUGCUUUCUCUUUAACGCUACCACCGGCGAGCAACCUUCCUUCUCCUCCUCUUCCUCGUCCCGCCGGACGUUGCACCCCAUGUCCUCCAGCGACUCCACCACCAACUCCACCGGGAAGUUCAUUAUCGCCGCCGGCCCCCUCAUAGAGAACGCCGCCUGGUCGUACGCCAGAGCCGCCGCCUCUGCGCUGUCGAAUGUUCCGAGCCACACCCGGACACCGUGCCGAGUCGAAUCCCUUAUUUCCGCCGCGAAUUUCCCCCACGGCCUCCGCCUCACUCCCCUGAAGGACUUGUCCUUCUUGUUAGCUGGCGGCGGUGGCAAUGAUGGUUUGUAGGCGGCGGAGUCGGAGCUGACUUCCUCUUCUUUGAUGGUUGGUUUGGUUUGACUGUUGUUGGAGGCGAUGAGGCCGAACAAGAGCAUUUCUUCGGAGUCGUUCUCGUUGAAGGGUAGAUGAUGGGUUUGGUUGAGGGAUUGACUGGAGAAUUGCUCCGGUGAUCCGAAGGAAGAGGAUUCCGGCGAUGAGAAGUGGAAAAUUGGGGAUCCCAUUGAAACCAAGAUGGAUGGAGAAUAACAAUUGGGACUAGUGCUUAUUUCUCUGGUUGUAGUUGUGUCUUGGAGGCGCAUGUUUGGUUUUGUUGGGUAUGCGGAAUUUUUUGAAGCUUAACGACGCUAUUUAUACCCACCAGGCAGGGGCACAUUAACCGUUGGGUAAGAAAGGUAAAAUAUGGCGGGUAACUCGGGUAUCGACUAGUGUGGUUAAAUUAUUAUUUGUUUUUAACCCCGUGUGUGUUAGUGGAACCUACGUAGUCGAAUGGAUUUGGUGGGAAAAUGGUAGGGAAACCUGGCGGCUCCCCCGCUGCUGCAGCAUGUCAGCCUCAGUUCCAACUUCCAAUCCCCAUUAAGGAAAUAUACUUUAGAUCGUCUUGAAAGGAUUCAAAAGCGAUUUCUUUGGGCUGGUAACGUUGAGAAGGAUAAGAUUCAUUGGGUGGAUUGGAGUAAUGUCAAACCCCCUCUCAAUAGAGGUGGUUUGGGAAUUGUUGACUUGAGGACUCUCAAUUCUUCUUUACUCGCUAAAUGGAUGUGGAGGUACGCUAGUGAGAGGAAUGCUUGGUGGAGACAGUUGAUUGUCAAUAAAUGUGGGGUAGGGCCGUUCUUGUGAAUACCUAAGUGGGAUCUCGGUUCUUCAGGCCUCUCGUUGUGGAAGUGGGUGAUCUCUACUAGUUCAUUGUUCUGGAAGUUUGGCUAUAUUGAUUUAGGGGGUGGGAUGAGGGAUUUUUGGUACGAUUAUUGGAUUCCUGGGGUGAGAUUGAGUGAUGCUUAUCCAAGGAUUGUAACAGCUUCCCAAUCCUUGGAUUCAUGUGUUUCUGACUUGGUUUAUUUUGAUGAUAGGCGGCAGAGGAAUAUCCCCCUCGUUACCAAUCUGAGGGGUGGUGCUCGGCGGGAAUUGGAUCACUUAAUGCUCCGCUUGUCCAACCUCCCUGGUACAUUUAUCACUGCUGGUCCGGAUGCAAUUGUGUAGCCGUUAGAAAAGAGUGCGUGCUUUACGGUGAGCUCAUUAAGGAAGGCUGUUUCUAUUGGAAAAUUUCAUGGGGUUGAUGGUUGUCCUCACUCUACUAUUUGGGCCAAAGGCGUUCCUACCAAAAUUCAAAGCUUCUGCUGGAGUGUCUUUCACAAGAAGAUCGCCUCGAUCGACAACCUCCAAAGGCGUGGUUUUCAAAUGGAAAAUCGGUGCGCUUUGUGUAAGGAUCAAGAGGAAUCGGUGGAACACUUGUUUCGGGGGUGCAAAUUGUCAUUGCAGGUUUGGGGAAGAAUUAAAUCUAUUCUCUCCAUCCAUGGUCCGCUGCCCCAGCACAUCGAGGAGGUUAUUCUGUCCUGGAAAGGAUUUAGCUGCAUCCAUGAGUUUAAAGAUGUGAUGCACUUUGUGAUGCAUGCUACUUUGUGGAUGUUGUGGACUGAGCAUAAUGACAGGGUUUUCAACGACAAGGAGAAGACUACUGCUUCUAUUGUCCGAAGAAUCAUGGUAAAUUGUGGUCUCUAGGAGAAGGCUGCUGGUUAUUUUGGCCCUGAUAAGCAUCAGCAGCGUUCUAGUUUUAUCUUUGAUCCGGGCUAAGUAGUUGCUCAUAGGGGGUCGGUUUUGGGGUGCUUUGCUGGGGGUAGGGAUGCCUGUCCAGCUGAUUUUGGGCAGUAGUGUUUCGUCGGGGUUUUUGGGUCGACUGGGUACUGGUGGCUAGGAGCAACCCUACAGUUUCUGGGUUCUUCCUUCUGUAUCACGUUGUCACCGUGUUCUUGGGGCCUUGGUUUUCUUUUCUUGGGGGCGGGGUCUGUGUUCUCAUUUUUUUUCCGGUGCCUUUUGUAUAGUUUGUACAGUCCUCUCUUUUGGUUAAAUAUAUCCUAAUAUCGCAUUAUCAAAAAAAAAUCUCCCUAAAUCUUUAUUCCUUUUAGUUAAUGUCUAAAUAUGUGAUUUAAGAUCAAAUCUCUUCCAAAAUCUACAACACCUGUUAAAAUCAUACAUUCAAACUAUCUGCCUACACCUUCAAUUCAUCCAUAAUCUCUAGCUGAUUGCAGAUCCUUCUGCCACCUCCAUAAAAUUGUCGAUGUCAAGACCAAGUCCGAAGAGGCUUUCUAUGUAUGACUCCAUGGAAUAUAUCAAGGCACCAGAAGGGGUUAGCUUCACCAAGGACAAGGAACAUGCAUGUGAUCUUGACUCCAUGUCUCGUAUUUAAAGAGGGUUCCAAAACCACAAAUUUUAUUUGAAGAGGUUUUAGCCGUGUAUUAAUUAUUUUUUUCCAACAAAAUCAAAACAUUCAAUUCAAAUCAACUAAAUUUUUCUCAUCAAAAAAACAGGUGGCAGACUAGAUGGAGCCACAAAGCUAGCAGGUGAAGAUCGCUGCACCAACGAGGAAGAACAAGAACUGUCAAAAAGCAUUACAAGAAAUUGAGGAGGUAACAAAAGAUUUUUGUUUAAUUUAAAAGUGGUCUGACCACUAUUAAAUUUUUUAAUAACGGAUACGAAUUUAUUGUUAAGUUGAGUGACGAUAAAAAUUCUUAAAAUGUUAAAAUAGGAAAGUGAUAAGUUUGAGUAUAACACCAAUAUAUAAAAGUUUUUUUACAUUAGCAUAAGAGUUCAUACACAUAUUCUUACAAAACUUUAUUCAUCAGGUUAUAUGGCCACUUCUCAUCAAUUUCCGCCCAUAUUUACCUUUUAAACAUAUAAAUAUAACAAAAUCUAGCCGAGAUAAAAUUCAAUUUAUGUUAUAUAAAUGCGAAUUAAUGAGUUGAUAACCUGACAUUAACAUAAACAUUUUUCUUAGAAAAGUAAUCAAAUUGUAUAUGUAAUAUUGUUAAUAAAAUUCCUAUUUUAACAAUCUUUCUAAAUUAACAACCUCCUUUGUAUCUCUAGUAAUUAUUAGGUAGAAUUACUUCGACCUCAUUUGACAAUAAAAAAAACAAAUAGAAUUAUUAAUUGAAAGAACAGUAAGUAGAAUUAUUAAUUGCUUUAUACCUAAUAUUUUUGUAAAUUGGAGGAGGAAAUAACUUGUCAAAUACAGAUUUGCAGCUCAAAAUUGUAAAGUCCAAGUUGACGUCAGGAAAUGGUGAAUCUCUUUGGAAGGGAGCGGACUGCGGAGGCGCUCGUUUGUUGGUUUAGAUUUGGCUCUUUAAUUACCACUUGUCAAUCUCUCGCGUCACGUGGAUCAUUAUUGAUUGCGACUCUUCUUUCUUUCCCUGCAACCCCGCCCUUUUCCUGGAAAUUCCCCUACACUAAACUAAAAUUUACUUUUACCGUUCCAAAUUAACUUAACUAUUCCGUUAACUCCCAAUAUUUGAGUAUACUACCCAACGGAAAUGCUCUAAUUACCAAACUUUUGUCGAUAUUUACUGCGCUCCCCUGCUCCAUUUGGGCAAGAACCUGGACUUUACAAAAGAAACGUUUCAACUUCAAACUACAAAUAACCGGCAACAUUUACUUUUUAACAAUUAUGAAGAGCCCAUAAAACUAUUACAGUUUUGAAAUUACGUCCCCAGUAUUGAAGUAGAAUCGGCUUGCGGCAGCUGCCUUCAUUGGUUCGUGUGGUAUUUCACUUCCAUUCCCCAGCCACAGACAGCCACCUCCGCCAGCUGCCUUACGGAACUAAAAAUCAUCCGCCUAGUAACCCAAUAAUAGUUUGUGUUUAAUGCAGACUGUUUAGAAACUUGCUAUAUUUCUUCUUCUUGAGUUGACUGUGAGGUCAAGAUUGCUCAUUAACCCCUUGAAGAGUCACGAGAACCCUCAAACUUAAUUUCAUAUAUUAUCUUGACUCCAGAUAAAAUGAAAAAGCCAUGCUUUUAGUUCAUCAUUGAGCUACGAAAUGGGAUACAGAUUCAAUUCACCAUAUCCUCAAAACUCCCCUUUUCACUGCACAGUCUUAACAACAAGUAACGGGUUUCAUGUGAAUUCAGUUGGUGAAAAUAGAAAGAAUCAUAACUCAGUUCUCUUUUUGUUUCCACUCGUGAUCAGCAGUCAAAUAAAAUUAACGAAAAGGACUUGUUCCUGCUAUGAAACGUAACUCUGGCUACUUAAUCAGGCCAAGAGCAGAGCAUCUGAAGUAGUGUUAGAUUUAGGACAGCCACAAGUAUGUAUAAAAAAUUUAGAUCAGGCAUCAUUAUCCUAAGACGUCGUAGAGGCUAUCUGUCCAGAAAAAUAAAUAAAUUUCUGGGGUUUUCCGAAACAUGGUCUAGAUUCAGGGCCUCUUGCUUCAUCGUCAAUGUAAGUUUUCAUAUCGUCUUUCAAAGUCACUCGAGCUUUGAGAUGAAUAAGAAUCGACACCCUUGGAGAGUCGCUAUUUCUUUCUACAGAAGAAUGAAAAUAUAUAAAUUCGUAUUUGUAGGUGAAUGUUUAAUUAUUAAAUACAAUAUUAAAUUAAUAGGAGGUGAAAAGGUCAUUUAAUAUUUUGUUAUCUUUCCACCACCCACCUGCCCCUUGUCGUUAUAUUACUAUCUCCGGCGAUUGGACCAUCAUUGUUGGCGACUUGAAUUUUUUUCAGAAAUUCUCACGAGAUUUCACCCAAGUGAUUGCUGUGAAAAUUUUCAGAGACCGGUUGUACUUGUACGAGAGUUGUUCUGAUUUAUACAACGUGUACACAACUUAUGUUGGAUUGUACGCAGUUUGUAAAAAGUGAGUGGUAAAUUUUCAUUUUUGCUGUUGAAACUCUGACCGUUAGAUUUAAAGUUAAAUUAUGAACGAUUGAGAAUAACUCAGAUUCAGACUAAUGGAGUUUUUUAUGUUAUCCAUAACGACACACUUAUUAGUCAUUCUAAAAAAAAUAUGCAUAUAUAUGAAGCUUCGAAGAACCUCAGGAUGUCCCAUUCAAUUUCUAUGGAUGACACGCCACAAAUAAACAUAUCCCAGAAAAGGCUUUAUAUUGGUUAGCCUGAAUUCUUUUUACAUAUUUUACAUAUGAUCUCAGUCUCAAACCUAUAAGACCAUUUCUAAUAUUUUGAGAUAAAUUGUUAAAGUGUUAUAAAACUCAAAAUUAAAAUUUUAUAUUUAGCUCAAUCAAAUGUAAAAGUGUGUCAAAUUUAGCUCACUAGUCUAAGAAUUUGUAUUAGCGGAGAAGAUUUAUCGGAAUCUAUAAUUUUUUAUCAAUUCUCCUAUUAUUUUUAUUUUCAUUUGAAUUCUGAUUUGGAUAAUUUUUAUAUCAAAAUUCCUAUCUUUCAACGACGAAUAUAACAAGUUCAAUUUCGAUAAUAUUUCAAAACUUUAAAAACUACUUAAAAAGUCAAAUUUAACACUUUGAUUUGGCAUUUUUAAGCUCACCAUUGGAGCAGAAACACUUUUCGAAGUCCUAAAUUGUCAAAUUUAACACUUUAGUUUGUCACUUUAGCAUUUAGGUCUAACUACAGGAAAAUCCAACUAUUUUUAGUUUUAUCAUAGAUUGAAUUGGGAAGCUCGUUUGGUUCUAGAAUGUACGUGCGCAAAGAUAAAUGCGUAACAAAACUAGUUAUAAUUAAGGAUUUGACCUUUUCACUUAUAUUAAAACGUAUUUAGGCCUUUUGUGUGAUAUUGGAGUUGAUGAUACUGAACAUAUUUUUCAGAAUUGUACAUAUGCUUAGGUGAUUUGGUCUUAUUGUUUAGGAGCCUCUGUCGUAGCUGGAGAGAUUUUGUUGAUUGUGUAGCUGCUAUGAUGGUGACAAUGUCUACUCUUUCAGGAUGUUCUGAAGAGAUAUUGUAUAUAACGUUCAGUACGAAAGAUGUCGAUGUAACGUUGGAGAGAGGCCCAACUCUGUUCUUUCUAUUUGCCCAAAGAUAUUCACUAUUUGAUAAACCAUAGAUAAUGAAUGCUCCUAGUCGUUUGUAUAGGUUCUUUCCUAAUCUGGUAGGUUGUGCGCAGACUUUGUAUGCCACUCUCUUGGUGGUAUGCCUUGGUUUUGGGGCAUGCUGCAUUGUAACGAAUAAAAUACUAUAUUCAUCGAAAAAAAGUAUUUGGGAUUUUUAUUUUUUAUUAUUUUUAUCUAUUUAUUUUUUUAAAUUCCCGGCAUUUUUUUAAAUUCCCGGCAUUCCUAUGGCUAGUAAUUUUUUGACAAAUGGUUGACAAGUCUCCAAAGAAUGGUUGGUGAGUCUUGGACAAAUUUUCCAUUAAGUCUUCAGUGACUUUCUUGGCGAAAAUUUAAGACUAGUUAUAAAUGAAUAAUAAAACUAAUUAUAAUUCAAAUAACUAGUUAUUCCAACUAGUCUUAUAACCAAACAACGAAAUAUUUAAAUUCACUUACUAGUUACGCGAUUGAUAGUAUAACCAGUUAUAUGCAAAAAUAAUUAGUUAUAUUAUAUUCGAAUAAUCGAAUAUUAUACGAUGGAUAUUCGGAAAAUUAAAUUAUAGUGACUAUUUUUUAAUAAAGCAGUAGCAAUUGACUAUUUUGUUGUAUAAAGCAGUAGCAAUUGACAAUUGAGUCAUGCUCCUUGAGCACUGGAAUCUUCAAGAAAUAGUUUUAUAAUGUUGGUCCUUUAAUGUAAUUUAUUUAAUUUUUGAAAGUAAUUAUUUCCACAAUUCAGCUUGCUAAUCAAAUACCUGUUUUGGUGUGGACUAAUCGAAGACGAAUAAACGUAGAGAUCCAUUAAAAUCUUUUGCUCCCGAGUUUAGAAGUGACAAUUCAUCUAAAACCUCAACCUGAAAUUUAUUGAGAGCCCAUCAAUUCUGAACUUCUGGGCCGGGAAUGAGCAAGAACCAACAAGUUAGUCCCACAAAAGCCCAAUUCUUAUUAUCCUCUCACAUAUUAAUUUUAAGACUAGCUUGCUUAAAAAUUUAAUUUUUACAUGUUUAAAACAUUUUCAUUACAAAAUUUAUUUAUCAAUUUUUAGUUAUUUUUACAUGGUAAGCACCCCUCAUUGCCUACAUUCCUACAAUUAUUUAGCAAUUUCAAUUGAUUAUUUAUAAUUUUAUUAUUCCAAUGAUACAGAUCAUUCAUAGUAUAUUUUUUUAUUCAUAAAAUAUUUUUUUGAAAAAACUCAUCCCCCAUAUAAACCAGGAUGAUAGUUCAAAGAAUCAAGUUUUGAAUUCGUAGCUGAUAAAGAGUUUUUUUACUCUCUAGUGUUCGAAGGAGUCCUCUUUGUUAAGAUAACUAAUUUCAUGAUGUUUAUCCAUUUAGUUGAUAUGUAGUGUAUGUUUAUUUACUCGUCAACAAUAUAUAAAAAUUCAACACAUUAUAUUUUUAUGUACGAAUCCGACCAAAUUCUAUUUAAUAUGGUUUUUCAGGUUACCUAAAAUUCGGUUUGACUGAGCAAAGUCAGGCUAAACCAAACCAAUGAAAUUAAUGAACAUCGAAAUGAUGUAAAUUCGUGGGAAAUGUAAAUGAAACAGGACGAUUGAAUAGGUACACAUUCCUAAUGAAUAGUGUAGAGCGUUUGUGGUUUCGAUAGUUUUAAUGAAAUACAUUGGCAAUGCUGACAUCCAUCCAACGCCCAAAACGUCAUUAACUUGUGUUGUUCUAAGAGAAGUGAAUUGGGAAUUGAAAUUAUUGGUCUGAAUAGGUAUAUGUACAUUUGGAAUUCCAAACAAAUUUUCAAAUUGAUCGCUAAACUACUGUGAACCCCAUGCACGUCGAUAAAUUUAAUGAAGAAUGGUAUAGGUAAAUUAUGACAGCUCCGGCGACCUGACUUGUAAUUUGUUCAAACGUUGAUUCAACGGAAGGUCAAUGAAGCUGUAGGAUUUCGUCACCUCCACCAUACGUCAUACCUGACCACAUUUUUAAAUAUACUUAUAUAUAUAUUGGCGCCAACUCUGAAGGAAAUAAUUAACAACUAAAUAUCAGGUCUUUUGUUUAAACUACUAUUAACAGCAGAGCAUGGAGGCCAGGAAAAGCAUUAUUAGUGGUGGCGAAGAUGAGCAUCAUCAGCAGGAAGUGAAGUAUCGGGGUGUGCGGCGGAGACCGUGGGGGAAGUACGCGGCAGAGAUACGUGACCCGGCGAGGCGAGGCUGCAGGCUGUGGCUGGGUACUUACGACACUGGGGAGGAGGCAGCUCGUGCUUAUGACAGAGCAGCCUUCGACAUCAGAGGAAACCUCGCCAUCCUCAACUUUCCGAACGAGUAUUACUUGCGGCGCCCGAGUAGUAGUAGUCCUAAUAAUGUCGCCGGUGGCCGUGACGGGCGAGAUUUGGAGGACGAAGGAGGGAGAAAGAAAGAGAAGCAGGUGUUGGAGUUGGAGUACUUGGAUGACAGCGUGCUGGAUGAGCUUCUUCAACAUUCACUGCAAGAAGAUAAUCACAAAUCACAAACUGAAGAGUAAUCAAUCAUUGAUAUUUGACGACGGUAGCACCCGGUAGAUCCAACCAAGUUAUAAUGAAGCACUGAGCCGCAUUUAAUAAAACAUUAGAUACAGUAAGCAUAAUUAUAUAUAGAUUUCAUUACAACGUACGACAGUACUUUAAUUAUGGACUUAGUGAGAACACCACUCUUAUCAUGAGAACACUCCCAAAAAUCAUUAUAUCUUGAAUUCUUGAUACUAUAAUCUAAUGGUCCAGAUGAAAACAAGUAAAUAACAACAAAUAAACAUAGUUACACCCAAUUAAUUAUUUUCCCAUUAAAAACCAAAUCCCUAGUUGUUUUUGUUUCAGGUGAAAAUUUUAUUGUGGUUGAAGGUAAUAAAUGCAUUUUUGAUUUAUUGGAAAUGGAUAAAUUAUACGGUUCAUAAUUUUUUAAACAAAGUUGGGGUGACGGUAUUAAGGUGCUACAUGUGAAGUUGUCAUGUUGAAAUGAUGACAAGGUUUGACAUGAUAAUCAUAAUGGUUGUGAUGAUCACGCACGUGACAAUGAUGAUCCACCGACCAUAUGAUCAUGUGAUGGUACCAUAUGAUCACGUCACCGUAGUCAAGAUUCAUCAUUAUAAGAUGGUGAGUAGGGGUGCCGCCUCGAGUGAUGACAACGACAAGAUGACGCAAGUGUUAGUCGGCAUCAAGAAACAACCCGAUGCCACGAGUGAGUGCCGCGAGUGAUGACAACAUGGCACAGUGCCGCGAGUGAUGACAACAUGGCACGGUUAGCGAGUGAGCAGGUUUCCGCGAGUGAUGGCGUCACACGGCAUAGUUUCGUGAGUGACGGCGACACGACACGAUGCCGCGAGUGAGCACGGUGCCUUAAGUGAUGGCGUCACACGGCAUGGUGCCGUGAGUGAGUGACGACGACACGACACGGUGCCGCGAGAGAUGGAGGCACGAUACGGUGUGAUGGGCUAAAAACCUAAUCAAGGGAAGCUUCCUCCGGCCACCUGCACAGCCUCAUCCACCCACGGCCGCCUUCUUCUUUCGUCCCGGCAACUUUUGCUGCCGCCCUCGCGUGGGACGUCGAUGUGCAGGGAGAAAUAGAUUGGAUUUUGACGAAUUUGUUCCUGCAUAACGUAUGCCCAUCGGAUUAGAUCUUGUAAAUUUCAACGACUAAGAUGGAUCCUUGAAGUUCUUGAAAUAUAAAUUUUUUAUCCUAACUAGAAGCCAAGCAAACUAAUUAAUUCUACUACACCAUAAUUACACCCUAAUUGAUAUAAAUAUUAAUUCCAUAAUUUGAUAAGUUUUUAGGAAUUAAUUUUGAAAUGAAUUUUUUAUAUAUGAUAUAUGAAGAAAUUUAUUUUGAAUUCUACAAAAUUGAAGUGAAAUUUUGAAUUGGAUCAUAUAAAUUCUACUAAUUAUAAUAAAAUGAUAUAUUUAUUCUCAGUUAAUAAUUAAAUGACACAAACCAACGUGUCUUUGCUUUAAUCUAAUAGAUGGAUCUUCAAAUUAUUUACUAGGUUUGAACAACUUCAUGUUUUGUUUGUUAGAUUGGUUGGUCAUAACGUUGACAUUUCCAUCUUUAGUAGUUUUCAGUUGCCUUUAUGAUAAGUAAGUUGGGUAACGUGAUAAUAAUUGUUAAUUUUAUAAGUUCUGAGUAAUAAUAAUAUUUUUUUCUCGAAAUACUAAUUAAUGAGGGUAUAUGUAGUAAACUGUAAUUUAGUUCAAUUAUGCAUGGUAUAUCAAAUAUGAUUUGGAAUUUAUCACAUAUCAAACAUACAGUCAUUCAUUUGACGAUAAAUUCUAUACAAUAAUUUAUUUUAAAAUAAAAUAAAUUUUUAAUUCAUUUGAUACCAAAUGAUAUGUAACAUAUUGAUAAAAGAAACUAGUACUUAUCUAAUAAACAAUUCUCGAAAUUAGGUACGCAAUAAGGUGGUGUGUUGUGUGAGCAUUGUAAUUGAUCUACGGUCGAACCAAUUAUUUUAGUACGAUUUAAAACUCAUGAUUUUGCUAGUUCAUCAAUCACACGUCGUUCUUAUAUUUUUGUGAACAGUGAUUAUAUGUUUUACUUCCGAGAACAGAAACUAGAGUUGUCAAUAGAGUUGGGGUCACGAAUUGGGUUAGUCGGAUUAUGAGUUCAUCGGGUUAUGGGUUAGUUAAGUUACGGGUGUUCGUCGGAUCACAUGUUUGUCGGGUUGAGGGCUUGUCAGGUUGCGGGUUCAUCGUAUUGCAGGUCCAUCGGAUCGUGGGUUCAUCAAUCUCGAGUUGGGCGGGUUGGUUCGGAUUGUCCAUAUCGGAUCACAACAAUUUCACGAAACAUAAUACAACUUUUUAUUACAUAAAUUAUAUUGAAUAAGGUUAAUCUGAUUCUUAGGAUCGCGGGUUAGUCUGGUUAUGGGUUGACGGGUUGUAGGUUGAUCGGGGUUACGAGUUGAUCGGAUUACGAGUUGAUUGGAUCACGAAUUCGGCGGGUUACGGGUUCAUCAUCGGACGGGUUACAAGUUAACAGUCGGAUUACAGGUCAGGCUGGGUCAGAAAAGCGGGUCCAUCGGGUCGGGUUAGAAUUUUGCAAGCUCCAAUAGAAACCAUUACUUAAAGGCUUGUAUUAACUAUUGAUGACCUCUACUCAUUGGUCCAAGCCACAACUACAGCCCAACUUCAACACCAUACACUAUUCACUACAUAAGCCCAACACAAUGCUCAUUAUCUGAUUUAUCAUUUAGGGUUGGGUUCUGAAAUCUAAUCUCAGUCACCGAAGUCAUAUAAAGGAUGAAAUCAGGGUCCAAGUCGUGUGAGUCUGAGCCAUAAAAGUCUUGAGCCGAUAGACAGGGCUGAAGUAAUGCGAUCUGAUUACUGAGUUACUAACAGAUACGAGGUUUUGGUUUGUGAUUUUGUCUUCAAGAGGAAAAAAAGAAGAUUAGAAGUGCGGGAAUCAAAUCUAAGAGGGUGUGGGGAGGGCAAAGAUACAAAGAAUCUCAUUCCAACGGCCACCAUUUCUUUAAGGAGAAAGCUGAUAAUGAGAUUUUUGGAGAAAGGUUCACUGUUAGCUAACCUUCUUUCAACAAGUCCCCUGCAUCUUGCACCCUAUGUACUUAUUACUUAAAGACUUCUUCUUCUACUACGUUAAACUCAGAAGUAACUGGAAAACUUGUUUCAUGAAACAUUAUUAAUCCUUAAAAUUCUCGUACAUGUUAUAUUAACCAAGUGUUCAUCGUAAUAUAUAAUAUCAAGAUUUAUGUCAUAAAGCGUAACCAUGUAAAUCUUGACUACUUAACUAUAACUGGCCAGGCAUUGUACAACAACUCUGCAAAAAUUACUAGACCAAUACAAUAACCAAAUAAUUCUGAAGUAAAUCACAUAAUUGAACGGACGAACGUGUGAAAUUUUGAAAAUUAUAGAAAUUAUAAAAAAAAAAUAUUCCCUUCAACCACACCCGUCAUUGUAAACCACAUUCUACAACAAACGAUGUUAAUUAAGCACCUUACCACAUAACUUGUGCCAAGUUCCAAAAGAAACCACCAUACCUUACUGAAAGGAGGGUAACCAUACCAGAGAAGCGAGAAGUCUCACACAAACUCAAAGGGUAUAUAGGCCAAAAUGAUCGAACUUUUGGGUUAAGCGCGAUUUUUAGAAAUAUCGAUUUGUCACCUAUAAUUAAUGAUCCGAAUGGAGCUAACAUGUACCCAAUUUGCCCGACUCACCCGAUAUAACAGUUAUAACCGUCUACUAGCUAGCACUCCUGAUUGGUCCAAGAUGGAAGCUGAAUGAUUGAAGUACUAACUUGAAUAUCCUAGCUGUCAGACAAAAGCAAAAUUUGGUGGGAGUGUGUUUCCAAGUAGGCCAAAAUAGACAGUUGCUGGCGGCUGGCGGUCCUGCAGAGCCAACAGACUCAGAAUGAUGUCAUAAAGACUAGCUCAACAGUCAAGUCCAUAAUUGUAACGAAUCUAUAGAGGAUGAUGGUACAUGAUCUUGAAACAGAAUUGACGAUGAUUACGUGUCUCUCUGACAGAUCUGUUUUCUUGGGGGGACAGACACAAUCACAAAAGCAGCACACCGAAGUAGACAAUGAACUCAAACAGGCAACACACCAUUAAUUCCGUUGAAAGAAUUAAGUUGUUUCACCAACACACGACCAAACUAGACGAUUCUUACAACACAUACCAACUUCCCAUAGACGACUGACAAUCUUCGGCAAAAGAGCAGAGGCUAGGCAACUCACAACAACAAAAGUACAUUAUUAGCAACACAAUAGCAGUUAGCUGCAUGAAAAAUCAAAGAAAGAAUUUAGUUCUAUUGGAAAAAAAUCUAUUGGCUUCGGACAUCAUAUAACUGUCAAGAUAUCAAACCAGUCCCACAAACAAAUUUCAUAAUCCCCCGGCACUCACCGUUCAACAAUAUGCAGUCCAAAGACAAUCAAUCAAAGCAAAAUGCAAACUCGACAAAGAAACAUUUCUUCGAAUCUCGACACGGACAUUUGUGGACGACUGCAACCUGUUAGGUUAGACACAUGUGAAUUAGAGGAUGAAGUUCGCUAAAGUGUCAGUUAUUGUUUUUAAACAAACCGAGAACCAGACUUUGCAAACUAUCGAGUGUUUUUACCAAACUGUGAUAUAUAGCACUCUUAGGUGCUAUUCAAGUUCCUCAUCUUAAAAUUUGUGUUUAAGGAAUGAAACCACACACUUAUACAACGGCUAUCACUUAUCAACUACAAGCCAAUAAUCGAAUUGUUGUGAGAGGCUUCAGGUACACCCCUAUCAAACUGAAGCACUCGUAAGAUUUUGAGGUAGACAGUGAUAUCAUGUCAAGAAACCAUUACUUGUAUCCAAAAUUGUUAGGAGAGGAUUCAUAUACCCUUUCAAACGGAAACUCGCAUAAUAUCCUAUGGUAUUGCUCUAAUACUAUGUAAAAAACUAUGACAUCCCAAUAUCUUGAGUCGUUGGGAUAGAAUAGGAUUCAUAUAGUUUUUAUGAAGGCGGAUUAUAUUGCAAAUAGGAAGUGAAUCAGAGUACAAUAGGAUGAAGAGAAAAGAGACAAGCAAGAAUAGUUAUUCGGUGGAGAUGUUGGUUGAUUUCAUUGUUGCCGUUGAUCCGGAUUCGUUUGAGAAUGAAUUGACCAACCAAGCUCAUCACAACCACAACCCUCAAGAGGACGUACAUUUCGAGAGACAACAAGAGAAAAAUCACACCAUCAAAGGACGGAACAAAGCAGUAAUAAUACACUAGCUAGCAGGGGAGAGAUGUAGCAUAGCACGUUAUUCUCCAGUUAGAAUAACUAAACAAUGAAAGCCGAAGAAGAGUGAACUGCGAUAAGAGUAACUUAACAAUGAAGUCACAACCAAUUUCACAGAACAUGAGCCACAAACCGAUUGUCAUGAAUAUAGGAAUGCAUGCCGCAUGUCAUGUGCCUUAUAAAUGAAAGAACUCUUCUCCAAUAACCAAACCAAACCAAAUCAUCUCAAAUUGAUCAUCAUAACCAAACUUAGGGUACAUAUGUAGUUACGUUCAUGACAAAUUGUCAACAGACUGACUGAAAAAGGGUUCCAAUUUUUCACUUCCUGUGCAGGAAAGGAAAAAAGAACCCUAAUUCAACUUCUUGCUCUUAAUUAAACUCAUAUAUAUAUAAUUAUAUAAACUUCUUUGACGCAUACAGACAGAACAUUUGAAGAGUAAAAUUAUUUAGUAGCUAGGGUUUCGUUGCUCGACCUUUUGUUUUCAAUUUCAGCAGCUAGCUAAGCUAGCCGUGCCUCCUCCUCCGAUUCUCUUCUUGCUCCAGCAUCUCAUCCAGCAACCUAUUGUCCAAGUACUCCAACUCCACCACUUGUCUCGAAUUCGAUGACGAUCCGGCAGCUGCAGACGCGGCAGCAGAAGCCGGGCCCCUCCCCAUGGGGUACUCAUGUGGGAAGUUGAGGACAGCAAUGUGUCCCCUCAUCGCAUACGCAGCACGGUCGUAUGCUCUUGCUGCUUCCUCCGCACUGUCGAAUGUCCCCAGCCAUAUCCUCUGCCCGUUCCUCGUCGAGUCUCGUAUCUCCGCAGCGAAUUUCCCCCAAGGGCGGCGCCGGACUCCUCUGUACUUCACCUCUCCUCCUCCUCCUCCUCCUCCUCCGCCUUCUUCUUCACCUGUUGCUUGAUUGUCCAUAGUGGGGUAAGUUUUGGAAGAAAUAGUGCAUGGCGAAUAUAUGUGGAGGAAGAGGAAUAUAUAUAUACAUGUGGAAAAAAUAUAAAAAUUUCGGGAAAAGGGAGACACAUUAACUUUGAGUGGGCUUGGGCUGCAAUUGGAGAGUCAAAGUGGGGAUUUUUGCCACGUGGAGAAUCGUGUGGGUUGAACAAGGUUCUGGUUAGUUUGAGUCCAUUGUAUCUAGAUGGUCAAGCUGAUGGCUUUGAUCUCUGAAGAGGGGUCCUGCAUGCCCUUGAUAGACCUUUUCUCUACUCUGUUUUUUUUCUCUCUUUUAAGAAAAAGUAGGGGAAAAGGAAAUCUGUGGGUGUUAUUAUUGUUUAUUUUUUUACUAACUGUUUACAUGCCCACUUGCUAAGCUACCUAUAUUAUAUUAUAGUGUGUCAUUAAUGAGCUCACCAUACAGUCUUUUGAUAUCAUCACUUUCUCCCCCAUUCUUACUUCUAUACUAUCAUUCAAUUGGUUACUAUAGUGGGCAACAAAUCCAGUUUAGUUGGAAUUGUUUUGAUGAUUUUAUAAUUUGGCUAAUAGCAUUUGAAGUUUUGAUCUUCUACUUAUGUGUUUAGUCUAGGUAACAAUCAUAAAUUUAGUUUAAAAAUUAAAUUAUACGACAAAAAAUUGUCGGUGGCACGUAUGUUGUUCUUUUCAACUCAAAGCAGUACCAUGGAUUAAUUUUUCAUUUUAAAUUAGUAUUAGGUUUAAUUCCUCAAUUAUUUACUUGAUACAUAUACAAAAGUUUUGAUUUAAACCCGACUCAAUGUAUGUUUUCAUCCUAAUUCAGCCAUUGAAUCACGCCUCAAAAUGUAUCAUAUUAGUAGAUGUUUCAUGUUACCUUGUAUUAUUUGAAUCUCUCAUGUACUUUCUCAUCUCAUGUAGGAUUUGUCUAGUAUGUUAUAGAGUGUAUUAAUGAAUAUUAUAUGUUGUAUGUUUGGUGUAUGGAAAUUUGACACAUAAUUAAAACAUCUUGGUAACUAAGUUCAGACUAAAGAUUUGUUAAUUUCCUUGGUUCACUGGUCCAGAAUAUGCAUUGCAUGUGAAGUAGAAUCCAUCUAAGUAAUUAAUAGUUUGAAUUAUUGGUGGCUUUUAGUAGAAACCGUAGGGUUAGUAAUCCUACUGCAGCGUUGCUGAUGUCAUCUUGGCUUAUAUCAUCAUGACAUCAUCUUCAUCACACACCACCCAACUUAUUGUUCUUUGCAUAUCCGUACUUUCACUUUGCAUUCAUGUUUUGGAAUUUCCAAAUCUUGUGAUAAAGAUAGGAAAUAUGACUUCCUUUUUCCUGUUGGUAUAUAACAGAGAUCUUUACAUGUUGCAUGUCGAUCGGAACUUAGAAUUCCUCUGUUUUUAUUUUGUUUUUAAAAGAAAGAGUGGUUAUCAAAUAAAGGGAAAUAUGCCUUUGCAGGUAGGGCAACGUUAACUCAAUUUGUACUCUCAACCAUUCUUGCUUAUGCCAUACAAACUUCAGUCCUCUCAUCCACUACUUGUUAUGAGAUUGACAUGAAAAAUUGAAAUUUUGUAUCGGGAACCAUGGCGAAGGAGUGAAAGACACACCUACCGUCUUGGGAGGCUAUCUACGCACCUAAGUCGGAAGGGGGAUUAGGUCUCCAGUCGGUGCAUCUACUGAAUCAGGCAUAUACAAUGAGACUACAGUAAAACUUCUAUAAAUUAGUAUAGUUGGGACCAUAAAAAUUAUUAAUUUAUUUUGUAGUUAUUUUGUGAUGUAUAUGGUUAAUAUAAACCAGUGGAGAUUUCGGUAUAUAUGUGUAUACGGUACAUUCAAUACUAAAAACAUUCAUUUUAAGAAUUUAAAACCGAAACAAUAAAUCCUAAACACCUCAUAAACACUAAAUUUCAACCCUUAAACAUUAGAUCAUAAAACUAGAUUCUUAAUCGUAUUCCAAACUCUGUCUUUUAAACAUAAAACUAAAUUAACCAAUCAUAAAGCCUUUAAUUGGAUUUUAAAAACUUACCACUAUGUCCUAAACCCUAAACACUAAACAAGAACCUCAAAACUCUUAAUUUUAAACAUAAUAUAUAGCAUAGAUGUGAUAGACUGUACCGUGUACACAUAUAUACCAGAGUCUUUUCCACCACUUUAUAACCUAUUCAUAAUUUUAUUUUAGUAAGUAUACUACUAACACAUAUCUAAGCUAAUCACUCUUUAAUUUACAGUAAAACUUCUAUAAAUUAAUAUACUUUUGAUAAAAUAAAUUUUAAGGUUCAUUGUAUUAUCUUAAUCGUUCAAAUUCAUACACAAUUACUUUGGUACCCUGCAUUCUUGUUGAUGGUCUAAAUUCAUUUUUUAAGUUACUUGCACCUCUAUAUUCAUCGAUCAUACCUUUAAUAUAAUCCAUCAAAUAUAUGGUCAUCCAAUUACUGUAAAUACUACAGAAAAUUUGUAAAAAUCAUAUUCAAUAAUGGCUUCUCAUUUGAAAGGUUUCCAAAAGUCUAUCAUGACCAAUCAAAUAUGUAAAUAGUUAUGUGAGUUCAAUUUAGAAAGGUAUCUGAAAAUGAUGAAUGUAUCACGACACAAUGUGUAGAAGAAUGGUGGCUGACAUUUUGGGAGUUCGAUUGAGGAUGAAAGAGAUGAUGAUUCAACACCUUUGGAACCAGUCAUGCGAAAGGAAGUGCUUAAAGCCGCAUCAACUCUUAAAAACUACUUGUUGCAAUUAGAGAAGACAACGCCAAAGAUUUUGAGUGUAAUGAAGAAAGUUCACGAUGAACUUGUACUAAACUUGAACUACAAGAAGAAACAAAUAACUAUACAUCCAUAUUUAUCUAGAUUAACCUAGCUAUAGAAAUUUCUUGAUGAAUGGUACUUUUUUAAUUAUUAAUUUACAGAAUUGAAAAUACAUGUAUUUAUAGAGGUUCUUAUUAUUUUAUUAAAUUUGCUCAUUUUUUACCCUGGCCCAAGUCGAGACCGGAAAAAUUAUUAAUUUAUAUUAGAUUAUUAAUUUUGUAGAGUAUUAAUUUAUAGAGGUUUUAAUGUACCGUUUUUUUCAUCUCAAAACCAAACGACUUGUGGUGCAGGUUCUGUGGACGAAAUAUAUUAAGGACUAUGUGAAUGAAUUCCGGAAAAGACACACUAGUUCGCGUUUAACCAUCUGGCAUAGUAUGUUGGUAGUUAUGCCACAUAUGGUGGAGGGUUACGACCAUGCUGGUUUAUGGGACGGUCGCAACAUCCGAUUUUGGUCGCAACAUUGGCUGGAUAAUGGGGCCAUUGUAGAAGGCUAUGCUCUUGUCGGUGUUGGUCAACCUAAACCAGAUAUGGCAGUUGCUAACAUUGUCACUCCUACAGGUAUAUGGGAUUUCGACCUCCUCUCUUAUUGUCAAAACAAAACAAAAAAUUCGGAGCUGGGAUGAGGAGAGGACAUUUGGGCGUGGGGUACAUCAAGAGAAGCAUGAGCGCUUCCAUAUUCGGCGAGCCUAUGAUCUUCUUCACUGACCACUGAAGCGGACUAGUGAAUUCAACUAGUGGAUUGUUUGGCGCUGGUAGGGUCAACAAUGAAUCCGACACUUUCUCUAGUGCCAAUGCUCGACUGCUGACUAACAUAGAGAGGAGGCGGCGUAUGACCUUUCAAUCUAAAAACCAAGUGAACCAAGAUCUACCAAUGUUUCCAUAGAUCACACUACAGUAGAAGGCGUAGAGCACUAGGUGUAACAUCCCGGUCUUUUCCGACAAGCCAUUAUCCGUUUAGGGACUAGGCCCUUACGGAUAUUAUGAGUGCAUACCAAUGACUUCCAAGAGGUCGCCCAUUUAUAUAGUGCUCCCUGUGAAACCCGCCCCUAGACAUCCCGAUUGAACCAUGUGGUUCGACCCAUGUAUAUACUCGCUGGUUUACUCAUCACACAAUCAUACAUAAACAUACACAAUAAAGAUUGAAUCUUGAAACAUCAUAACAUGGUAAACGACGACGUAUGAAAACUAAACAACUAAGGCUCGAAAUAAAAUACUAAACAUCCAAAUAAAAAUCAUCCCAAACAGAGGAAAUCAACAUCCAAAGGUAAGCAAUUAAAACAACUUAAAACAUCUGAAAUCCGAAUACAUGAAAGCAUCUUAAAACAUGAAAAGGGAUAAGUGAGGUUCUCCAAGGUACCUCUCUCUAUGACUCCUGAAGCCACUCGGUUGAGGUGUCGUUGCUGCUUGUAUAAAUCUCUGAGGCGACAUUGCUCAUGAAGUUUCAUAGCCGUUCAUACAAGAAGAAAAGAUGGGGUCAGUGAUAAGAACUGAGUGACUAAACCUAACUUACGUAGAACAAAACUAGCAUCUAGUAAUGUGACCCUCUGAUCCUGUAGGCAUCAACCUAGGAUCAGCCACCCCUAGCUGUGAGAGGACGACCUCAUGGUGGAUAAGACCAUGAAACCACCCUGAAUACCGUGUGAGUAGUAUAUGUAGGCAUACUCAACACAUCCUGCUUGAGCCUGAACUCUAACCUGGGGGAUUGCGCAAUCCAUGGGUGGGUAAUCGACGCAUAAUAGGAAGCUAUCUAGCUAACCCUAAUCAUGUCCUAACAUGAAAUGUGAAUCACACGCCACAGUUCAAUCACCAAGAGCUUAUACUCGUAAUACUACAACUGUCUGUACAGUAGAUCACACGCUAUUGUAUAGUCCUGAGAGCUCUGCUCUGAAUCACAAUACUUGUAUAGUAGAUCAAACGCUACUGUACAGUCCUAAGAGUCAUGCUCUGUAAAACAACACAUGUACAGUAGAUCACACGCUACUAUAAUCUUGAGAACUCAAUCAUUGGAUUCCUCACAACCUAUUACAGUUCUACGCUUAAAGCAUAACACCUAACCCUACACGUCUUAUAAGCUCUCCUAGUAGAGUUUGAUCUGAAGAUGCCUUCCUAGAGCUCAAGUCUCUCGUUCCAUCUAACCUGAAGAGAUCAAUCAUAUGAUUGAAAUCCUAAAACCCUAAAUCCUAAACUAUCCGGAUUUAUCCUAUGCAGGUUUCCAAUCAAAGGAUUGAGAAAGGAGGAAGGAGAUAGAUUACCUUCCGAAGCUUCCUCCCCGAUCUCAAAAACUCUGCUACCAGGCUAGGACCAAUCAACUCUGCCUUCUCUACCUCCUAAAAGUAAUCAUCGUUCAUCAAAGAGAUUUCCAAGUUUUAGGUCUUUGUAAAUUCUGAGUUGCAAGUCAUGUACUAGGUUUUAUAAUAAGUCCAUCAUACUCGUGAUGUACUUAUUGCCACCCCCGUGACUGCCUGACAACCACACCCAUGACUUUCUGACAACUACGUCCGUGACCUACUAAUGAUCACCCCCGCGACACACUGCUGAUCACGGUCGUGGUACAUAUGAUAACCACGCCUGUGAUUGUCACGCCCGUGACGAUCCAUUCAUCAGCCGAUUUCCAGAACUUCGAGAAUUGACAAAUAGACCCAGAAUUGACAAUCAAACUGAAAUUGGGGUGUCACAUUCCCGCCCGAGCAUGUUUAACUUUGAAGUUCUUACAAGAACUCCUCCAUUUCACCCUAAAACACGUCUUGUGAGUUAAUGUCAAAUUGUUUCGUAUAGCUCAUGAACCUCUCUAUGUGUUUUGCCAAUGUGAUAUUUGUUUACACCAUAUUUCCACCACUCAUCAGUUAGCAGUUGUUUCACAAAAUUGCUAAUUAUUACUUAUUAUGAUCUUCUAUGUAUUAAGAUUGGAGUAGUUGAUACGACGUUCAUCUUGCGAGAGCAUAUUAGAGAAAGAAAGGAACGACACAUUAAUUGUGUUAAAUGAUUUUGUUGUAGCAUAUCCUAUAUUUUCCUUCAUAUUUAUUCUUCCUAAGAAUCUCCUUAAUCUCAUCCCUUAUAUUCCUUGUAUAUAAUCAUGUACACUAUACAAUACAAACAAUUUAAUCUAUACAAUUCUAUAAAUGGGUUCGUUCAUGUGCUUGGAUUUGAUAUUAAACUUUUUUGGUUGAAAGAGCGGACAAACAUCUUAAUUAUUAUUAAUAGAAGUGAUAAAAUGAGGGAUAGUAACUCCAAUCAUGUCGGACUUGAUACAAUCGAUAAUAUUACAAGAAAAAAAAACAAUGUGGUGUACUCCAAAAGAAAGAGAGUGACCCUGAUGCUCAAGGGGAUCCGCUACUCGAUUGCCUUCACGGUAAGUAUGGGUGAUGAACACAGUCCAACCAGAACAUAUCACAGCACGUUAACACAAGCAUGGUUGUUGAUUUUCAUUAGAGUUGGGAUGUUGGAGCAGGGAAACCACAACUUCUGGAUCAGCAUGUAGUUUAAUCUUUCAAUAACCCAUAUCCCAUGAAAUCUUGAGGCCAUGAAGGGACGGUUGCAGCCUGCACGGGUGAUAGAGCAAAUUACAAAAAUUGCAGCAAAGGCCCUCUGACAAAUACCUGUCGUAUUCUUAAUAAUUCGGCCAUCUUCUGCCGCCCCAAACGAUUGAAUGACAAAACCAUCAGUAUUAAGAAUAGCCUCCACGUCGGAUCGAACCAUCCAUCCGACUAAAGUUUCUACUUGCCGAUGUAUGUUUUUGAAAAAUACUGUCUCUCCCAUUCUCAUUGUCUCCCAUACCUCAUGAUCCAAUAAAGAGUUCAUAGGCGAAACUAAUCCCACGAUAAAACAAUAUUACUAAAAGUUACCUCAUUCCGAUUUGGAAGGCAACAUAUUGCGCGGAAUUCAAAUUGAUAUUGGGAGUCACCCACUCCUGUCAAAAUCAUUAAACAAUAAUAUGUUAAAACUUUAGCUUAUAAGGGCCCAAAAUGGGCACUAAUACUAAUUAGUAAUAUAAAUGGCAAACUAUUUUCUACACAACAAAUUUGGCCAACCAUUCACCGGGACGAAAAUAUAAAUGGCCAACUCAAAAAGCAUCUUAGUAGACCUGCCACAAAAGCAAAAUAAUACUACUUAGGCAAGUAUUGGUUCCAACUUCCACCAACUGACGAAGGAUGUUCAUACAUUUGUAUGAUUGGCAUUAAUCGUGAAUUUUCUAAUCUGAAUGUAAUUAAUAGACAAAGAUCUUACCCACUAAAUUCUUAUUAUAAUAAUACUUUAAUGUCUUUAUCAAAAAAGUAAUUGGUGUUUAGAAAUGUAAUGAUUCUAUCCUUUAGUCCUAUCACCUAUGGAAGACAAAGUAACGUUCGAGAGAAUUGGCCAUCUUAUGUGACAGCUUACGAAAUUUAGUGAACAUAUAUGUUUGUACGGGACUACAUAGUUGACAUAAUUGAUCGUUGGAUUGUCGGAAUUUAGAUCUUAAGGAUCUGAUUUAGUCUAUAUAUACUUAUUAAAAUGCUACUUAUUAUUCAUUUUAGAAAAGGCCACUAUACUGAAUUGUUAGUUGAUGAGACAAUAAUUUCAAUUUUUUAGACUUGCAUUUCUUGCUUCUCGUUUUUAUUGGAAUCGCCGGUGCCUUCUCAAUAAAUAUCCUUGUCCUUGGCUGGCACGGAACAACUUCAUCAGCUUCAAUUUUCGCCAAAGGUUCCACACAAAAAAUGAAACAUAGGGCUCGUUUGGUAUGUGAUAUUUAGAAUAACUAGCUAUUCGAGAUAUCAUGAUAUUGGGUGAGAUUGAUAUUGAAUUCAAAAAGUAUGAAUAUUCUUGUUUGGUGUAAGAUAUUGAGUGGUGGGGUUUAAGAAUGAUUAGAUAUGGUGUGGGUCCUGAUUUGUAAUAAUGAGGACAGAGAAAAUUACUAUUGUAGCACUCACUUGCUUGUAACUAUUAAAUUGCCUUGGAAUAUUGGGGUGAUCCCAUAUAGAUAAAUAUUAAAUAUCACCGAAUAGCUAGCUAUUCAAACUCCGAAAUACGAAGAUAUCUCGAAUAGCUAGCUAUUGGGUGAUAUUGAAUAUCAAUAUCACCCAAUAUCACUCAUACCAAACAUGCUCAUGGAUCAUUUUCAACAUAACAAAGAGUUUAGGUUAGGGUUUUUUCUCCAUAUCAAUUAGUGAUUUCUUUAACAUCGGCGAUGGAACUGACUCGACGCUGGCGAAGAGCGACGAGGAGUAGAUGGCGUAGACGCAGCUAGUUGAGGUGCCUCCACCAUGGGAGUUGAAGUCACCCAAGAAGGACCAAAACAACACCUCAACUGCAUAAACUGAUUGUCAACUCUGUUUGAGAACCCGACCAACCUCAGGCAGCUCAUGGGGUCUCACCGAUAGAGUAUUUUAGUCUUAGUUUCUUUUUCCGGUCUUGUCAUGGUACGUUUCUUAUGUUUGCUUUUGUUAGUUUCUGGUCGCAGUUCCUUCAUGUCUUUGUUUUUUUAAUGGUGUUUCAUUUGAUUUCGUAUAGUCCUUUCAAUUUUUGUCUCCCAUUAUGAAGUUGUCUUAUUGGAGAGCAAGGAUAUGAAGAUCACCUUUCUUGUAAGGGUCCGCAAUUUAUAUAUCCUUUUGCGGAGUUUGCACCUUCUAUUAAGCACAUUUACGCUAUUUGGCCAAGGCCUCAUGUCACCGAAUUUACCAAUGAGUGUUUUAUUUCAAAAACAAAUGAAUUACAUAGUAAUGAUCCAUAAAAAAACAUUAAUAUUAUUGGGUGAGAAGAUCAUUUUAAUUGUCAUAAACCAUACUUUUACAAAAAAAAAUAUUUUGAAAAGUAAGUUUAGUGAAAAAGAGUAUAUACAAUUAGGUCAUUUGGUUUAUUUAGAUUGGGUUGGGCAGGUCAUUAGUUAGUCGAUUGCACUUUCACCAAAUUAUAAAUUCAUGAGUUACGGAUUGAGUUGAUUAAAAAUUAUUUUUUUUUAAUCAAUCAGGUCAUAAAUCAAACUGGGCUGAAAUAAGCGGGCUGGAGGGUUUUACGAGCAUUUUCCAGCUUUAGGUACAACUCAACUCCAGUUGUGCAAUUUGGUAUUUAACAUUUAAAACCUAGUAAUGGUGAUAGAAGAAGUACGUGGGGUAGAAAUGAAUGGCAGACAACCCUUAUGAUUCUGCCACUAUAAAAGGGAGUGUGUAUUGGGAGAGCAGCCACAGACCAGCAUUUAUAUAUAUAGCAAAGAAUCCAUAAACACCCCCCCAAAAAAAGAAGAAGCAAAUAGCUAGCUAGAUACAACCAUUGUACAUAAUUAGUUCAAUGGAUUUGCUAACAGACAUAAACCCCACACACAAUCAUUCGUCCCUCUUGUCUCUUCUGUUCACACAAUUAGAUAGAAAUAAUCUAAUUAACGAUCUCCUCGUACAAAACACUUUCCCCCAUGCUAAUACCAAACGUGCUUCAAAAAACAACAGAAUUCCAAUUUCCUUUUGGCUUUCUCAACCGAGUAUGUUGUUAAUGAGGGGCGGGAAACACCAGCAGUCACAAAGGGAAACCACUGCAGCACCAAAAUCAAGGAGCGAAAAGCCCUCGCAACAAGGUCCAAACGAAACGCACCCACCAAAGGCACACAAAACAAAACCAAAACAGAAUACAUCGAUUCGCUAGCAUAAAACCCCUUCGUUGCAAGUUGCCGAAGGUCGCAAUCUUUCCAUAAAAAAUCUUCCUACAAAAGCUUUGGAUUUUGGAAGGAAAAUCACCUACCCAUAUAGAGCCAUGGGGAAUUUUCCCCGGGGAAAUUCUCUAAGGUGGCUCUCUGCCUGAACGAUCUAACCGUAAAUCGAAGCUGGACCCGCCGUGAUAGUAUUUGGAGGAAUGUUUGUCAACUUUUGUAAGAGUUGGUUCCACUAUGCAAGAGCCCCACCUCGCAAAGAGGUCAUAAGAGGAAUCGUCCUCCUACCUAUCAGAGAACAAACAUAAAUCAGAAAUAUUCUUAUCCAAGGAUUGCCCUCACACAACCUCACACCCGGGAUCCAAUAACCAAACGGCAAACUUGGCUCUCCUCGGCGUCACCGAACAGAAGGGCAUUCGCAUAGAAGAUAUGGUUGACCUUCCCAUCAAGAGAACCACUAUUCAUGAGAGAGGAAGUACCCAUUUCAAUGCGCACCUCGGUCAGCAAUGAACCCUCGUCGGUGCAAAGAAAGCCACCACAGAGUUCACCUGAUCCAGGAGAACCCAAAAUCUGUCAUCACUGAGGAUCUUCCUGCGUCCUUAAUCCAGCCGUCGAGGAAAAUCUUGAUGCCAUUGAAUUUCCUUCUUCCUAGACUCACAAUCCUUUGCACUUCGGCCUCGGAGGAGCAUUCCAAGACCCAAAGGUCAUCGCUAAUGGACGUGAUGGAAGAAUCCAAAGCAACUUCCCAGUUUUGUUUCGCCCAUCUACGGUAAACUUCCCAGUUUAUGAUGCCGCCCAUCGCAAACACUGACGGAGAAACCGAAUUCGUUCCUCAAACCGGAAUACCAAAGGGCGCCACCCCUCGGAAGGCUGCUCACCAGGAAUCAGAACGAAAAAUACCUUACCAUUUGGGCAUUUUUCAUAAAUUUUUAUCACCAACUCCCCUUGAGAGUGAAAACUGAUAGGGGAAAGAGUUCUUUCACUGCGAAUUUUGGUAACUUUCAAUCCGUGCAUAUGACUUAUCGAAAAUGUACAAACCAUAACUUUUAUGAGAAUUUCUAUUUGAGAGGACAUAUUAGUAAAUAAUAUAAAUAUAAAUUAAAAUACUGUCUCAACUAUUCGAAUUAUUGAAACAAAAUAAUUAUUGAUCAAAUGCUUCGUUCAAUUUGGUAAUAAUAUUUUUCUAGAUAUAUGCAUCAUUAGAAAAUUAUUUUAUAGUUACUUAAUUAAUUAGGGAUUUACAACGUCAAUUAUUAUUAAAAUUAUUUUGAGAACUAACAUAUACUGUAAUUGCUUUGGUUGGGGUUUCUUUUCUUUGGUAGCCUGGGUCAUGUCUAUAUAUAUUGNNNNNNNNNNNNNNNNNNNNNNNNNNNNNNNNNNNNNNNNNNNNNNNNNNNUCGAUUAAUAAAAAAAACAUAUACUGUAAUUGUAAUUUAUUUAUUUAAAAAGAAAUAAUAGCUUUGAUUUAGAUCGAGUUAGAUCCUGGAAAUCAAACUUACAAUAUUGGCAGUCAUACUUUGUUUAGCUAGAGCUCAUGGUGUUGAAGGAGGAAUAAAUUCUAACAAAAUUACAGUAAUGGUCAUGGCAUGCAUUGCAGAAAAUUUGAACGAUGGUCCGUCCAUUUGAAUUGAACAAGACCAGUCCUGAGCAUUUGGAUAAAAUAGAAUGCCGUUUAUGUGAAUUCAUCGUUAAGCAUACCAUGGAUGGAAGAAUGUGGAGCCUACACAAAACAAAAGCUAGUAUAUGGAAACAAGUAUAUGACACAAAAAUUAGUAUAACAUUACAAAAAAAAGAAGAGCAACUCUAGGGCACCCUUAUUUUGUACUCGUUUUAUAUUCUACGCACUUAUAUAUUUGUUUGUAUACUCAUAUGUCGUAAGCAUAUGUACCACUUAUGUACCUACCGUUUUUAAUCCUCUAUACACAAAUCAAUGAAAAUAUUUUGUAACUCAAUUAAAAUAUUCUAAAAAAAAGUACUAAAGAAAAAUAGCCCCUUUCCAGCAACCUUAUUCAAACGACUUGGAAGUCGACCACAGAAGUUGAUUUCUAACUUUGAUUUUGACUUUUUCCUUAGCUUGAUAAAAUAACAAAUUGAAGAUAUAUUUAACAUACUUGGUAUGAUAAAAUUUCACAUAUAAUAUGAAAUUUCAGAAAAUUACACUUAAAUAAAGUUUGACAUAACAUUGCCACUUCCUCCUUUUAUUUGCCGUCAGCAAAUAAGUUGGAUAUUUAUCGUGGAUCCGGACUGCCAACCCAGUCCAUUUAUCAUGCUUGAAGCCUUUAACUUGACAAAAAGGCCAGCCCAGUACUGCUACAUUUGAUCUUAUCAAUUAAAAUUCUUCUGGGCCGAGCCCAAUAUUUGAAGAGGCUUAAUGGUGUUUCAGUUGUUUACAGACUCCGGAGUUAUGGUUGCCGUCGACGAGAUUUGUGGGUAUAUGUCACAUUUUCCUGACAUAGUGAGUGAUUCAUGACUCUGCGUAUGAUACUGAUGGAAUCUCAUGUUGAAGGCUAUCGAGGUUUGGAUUAGAAGGGCAAUUUUAUAAUUUCGAGUCAUUCACACAUCCCUUCAGCCCCUGAAGACGCCAAUGAAUCAAAGAAUGUAUAUAUAUUUUGCGGUCUCAAUAUAUAUAUAGUCCAUAUUCAUAUGAUCAUUUAUCUAUAGUAUCGGAAAUUUGUGAUGCAUUUAGAAAACUUGGACUUCCCCUUAAAAGAUUCUUACCCAUGCAUGUGAUCGUAAGUAUGGUGGUAGGUUGAGGUGGCUGCAUGCAUCAGGUUGAAUCUGGCUGAGCAAUAUAGAUCGUCAGAUUAAGACCGUCUGUAAAAAAUUUAAAAGGUGAUGACCCACAAUUAAGACGUUGCCCAUUUGAUCUUUAGGCGGUCAACAAUACAAUUGUUGAUUUAAAUGCGAACGUUUGGUAGACUUUUCUCUAGGCCCAUCAAAACAAAAACAUGAAAUUAAUUAUAACUAUAAUAUAGAAAAAAAGAACCCUAAAAGAAUAUUGCUACUGGGUUUUGUAUUUCGACCCAAUUUACUAUAUUUGACUAACAUAGUAAACGGUGUGGCCAGAUUCUUUUGAAAACCAAAAGAAAGAAAUAGUUUUUGUCAACCUUUUGACUGACUACAUUUGACUGGUUUUGUUAAAAUUAAUUGCUGACAGUGAGAAGCUGUUAUUGGGCAAAAACAAAAUUGACAAUCCAGGACGGUUUGCUAGCUUCUUCUUUUCUCUCCAUGAUCAGUUUCAUUGCAAGGAAGUGGACUGAGCCACGUGCCGUCACAUGGAGCGCUAAUUUUAAUUUCAUUUUCUAGUGUUAUGUUUUCUGUAACCUCACGUGAGUCGAAGAACAAUUCAUAUCGUAACGUGAGCAACAGUAUGACAUCAUGUUUAAUUGUAUAGAAGUUCAAGAAAAACGAAACAGUAACAAAAUUAGAAGCAGCAAAUUCUUGCCUGGGGGGGGGGGGGGGGGGGGGGGUCGAAUGGGUGGGGUUGAUGAUCGGUGUGAUCCUAUUGGUUCUUCAGUUUUCAACGAACUCCCAUCUGACGGCGUUAACCAACCAUCAACUCUCUGAUUAUUAUACUGUUUAUUCAUCCCGAGAAGUAUUAUAUAGUUGAAGCACCAUACUGCUUAGUAAAGGAAAACAUGGCAACACAGUACAAAUUAACUUCAUCAUCACCCACCAAGUAAUCAACUGGUUAUUUAUGUCAUCUGUGAUCACUUUGUUUUUAAUGAAUUUCAAUGGAUCUAAGGCCUUGUUUAUAUAUUGGAUAUAAGUACAUACACAUGCUAGCUCUUCCAUUUCCAGGCAAGUUUGGUCAGUUUCCAACUGUUAAUCCCUCCAUCAUGUGACACAUGUACUACUUCAACUUUUAUCUCAUUAUUAUUAUUAUUAUUAAUCUAGCUAUAAUCUAAAAUCUUGACUGCUUAUUACAGUGGCAGCCUCUCAUGCUAACAUCCCUGUAAAGUGCUUAUUGGAACAAUAUCGAGCAUAUAGCCAAUUAACCGACCCCAAGAGUCUUGCUUAA
This 48084-nucleotide long non-coding RNA is filed under the name Linum usitatissimum (flax). Its description in RNAcentral is "long non-coding RNA (LUSI_LNC007188)". Lineage: Eukaryota; Viridiplantae; Streptophyta; Magnoliopsida; Malpighiales; Linaceae. The record is from RNAcentral.